RNAcentral lists this long non-coding RNA (44522 nucleotides) under Gossypium raimondii (Peruvian cotton). RNAcentral's name for it is "long non-coding RNA (GRAI_LNC006003)". Lineage: Eukaryota; Viridiplantae; Streptophyta; Magnoliopsida; Malvales; Malvaceae. The record is from RNAcentral.
UUUUUUUUUUUUUUGUCAUUCAAUUAUGAAAUGUUGCAAAAUAGUUGCCUAACGAUUCAAUUUUAUCAUUUUUAUCAUCAGUUGGCUAAUUAAAAAAUAGAAAACACCAAAAAUCUAAGAUAAUUGGGUGAAAAAAAAGGAAAAAAAUAAUAGUUUAUUGAAUAUUUUGUAACUUUUCAUAAUUAGUGUACAAGCCCAAAUUUACCCGAGGCCCAAUACCCAAUUGAAACCCAAACCUAAACCCCUACCCAUUACAACCAAACCAGGCCCAAAAUAAAAAUAAACCCUAGCCCAACAACCUAAAAAAAAAUUUCAGCCAAAAGGAAACCCUAAAGUGCCGCCGCACCCUAUGUCUGCCACCUCACCUGCCACGGCCACCAACUCUGCCCACCUGCCGCUUCUGUCAUCGUCCCAUCAUCCCACUUCCCUGCAAAGGAGAAAAUCACGCAAAGAGCAGUAGCAAACAGAGAAAAAGAAAAAAAAGACUAAAAUAGCAUGUAAAAUUGGCUAUAAAAGCCAAGUAUAAUAAUAUUUGAGAAAUAAAAAACAGAAAAAGAUUUCAAAGGAUUUUUUUUAGAUUCGCAUUUUUAUUUUCUGUCCAUUUUUUAUUUUUAUUUUUUUAAUUUUCAUACUAAAUAAUAAGUAUAAAAAAGGAAGAGAAAAAGAAACUCACCUGCGCCGGCCGAUCUACUCGCCGUCGACGGCCUCACCGGAAAAGGAGAAGAAACAAAAUGUUUCUUCGUUGCUCCGCCGGGUUUGGCCGGGUUUUCGGGGGUUUUGGCCUCGGAUCCUUGCUCUACGUGUAAAGGGCUUCGAAAUGGGUUAUUUUUGUUUUUCCGGCCACCAUGGACGGUGGCGCCGUUGUCGGCGACCGGAGCGGCGGCUGAUAACCGGACUCCUGGCCGGAUUUUUGGAAGGGGGAGAGGAUUUGAGGGAGUUUUCUAAGGUUUUUUUUUUAGGAAGAAAGAAAAUGAAAUUUUUUGAAAAAAAUUUGGUUUAAAUAGGGAAGCAAAACGGCGCCGUUUUGCUCAACCUUUUAAAGUGCCAAAACGGCGUCAUUUUGUGCCAUCCGACCCGACCCGACCCGCUCCAGGCCAGGAUCCACUUGUUUUUUUAGCGGAAGGGCUAAUUGCGCUUUCUGCCCUUCCGCUUUUCAAUGAUUUUGCAAUCAAGUUCUUUUUAGUUCUUAAUUUAGCCCUGAAAUUUCUUUCAGAUUUCAAUUCGAUCCACCUGGAAGCUAUGCGUUUUGGAGGGACGAGAUUAUUGCCCAUUUGGUCCCUCCUUGUUAUUCGCGCAUUCAACGUAGUCCUUCCCCUUUAAUUUAUUUGUGAUUUAACCCUGAAUUUUAUCUUUUAAAUUCAAUUUAGCCCACUGUUUGUUUUUUGGUUAUUUUAUUAUUAAAACUAAUAAAUUAUUAUUAUUAAUAUUAUUAUUAGUGUUAUUAAUAUUAUUAUUAAUAUUAUUGUUAUUAUCAUCAUAUUUAUGUUUAUACUUACUAUGUAAAUUUUAAAUAUAUGUAUCUUAUUAUAUUAUUAUUAUAUAAUUGCUUCUAUAUAUAUAUACACAUAUAUACAUAUUUAAUAUUUACAUACAUAUAUACGUUUAUAUUUUUUAUAUAUUUUAUCAUUUAUAUAUAUGUAUGUAUUUAUAUGCGCAUUUUAAAUUUUUAUAUAUAUACAUACUUAUAUUUUUUUUAUACUUGUAGAAUAAUGAAAGAAAACUUCUCAAGUAUAUUGGAUACUAACGUAUUGUUAUAUACAAGCAGGGAAAGGAAGUAACAGAAAGUAACAGAAAAAUAACUACUAACUGACUAACAAGAAAUUAAUUUAAAACUAUAUGACUAAUAGCCCACCUCAAGCUGGAGAAUGAAUGGGAAACAGUCCUAGCUUGGACAAAAUAAGCUGGAAGGGAACAGCAGCCAGAGCUUUGGUGAAGAUGUCAGCAAGCUGGUCUUUGGAAGAACAAGGAAGCAAUUUGACAACACCAGUCAACAUUUUUUCACGAACAAGGUGACAGUCGAUCUCAAUAUGUUUAGUACGUUCAUGAAACGUAGGGUUUGCAGCAAUUUGGAGAGCAGGAUUGUUGUCGCAAAACAAAGCAGUAGGCCCAGAAAUAGUCAUAUGCAAAUCAGACAGAAGAAAUCGAAGCCACUGAAUUUCACAAAUAAUAGAUGCAAGAGCCCUAUAUUCUACUUCUGAGGAAGAGCGAGACACGGUGCUUUGCUUCUUGGCUUUCCAACUAACAAAGGAAUCUCCAUAAAAUAGGUAGUAACCAGUCACAGAGCGACGUGUGAGAGGACAACCAGCCCAAUCAGAGUCACUAAAUGCCUUCAGUGUAGGCGAGGAAGAAGCAGAAAAGAAAAGACCAAAGUCAAUGCAUCCUUUCAGGUAGCGAAGAAUGUGAUGGGCAGCUUGAAGGUGAGUGACUGUAGGUCGGUCCAAGAAUUGACUUAACUGUUGAACAGCAAAAGCAAGGUCAGGUCUAGUAGAAACCAAAUACAAUAGGCGUCUAAUAAGUUUUCUGAAAAUAGUGUUAUCAGGAAGCAAUUCGUCAGAAGCAUCGCGAGGGAUUUUGGUAACCAUAGGAGUUGUAACAGGCCUACAAUCUGAGAAACCAAAAUCAGCCAGUAGAUCGAGAGCAUAUUUUUGCUGACAAAGAUGAAUACCAGCAGAACUACGAGCAACUUCAAGGCCAAGAAAAUACUUGAGAUCCCCUAAGUCUUUGAUGCUAAAGGUAGAAUGCAAGAAGGCUUUUACCCGUGUGAUUUCUUCCAAAAAAUCACCAGCUAGAAUAACAUCAUCAACAUAAACCAAUAAGGCAGUAAAGGAGAUUUCAUCCUUUUUAACAAAUAGAGAAAAAUCUGAAAUAGAUUGAACGUAACCAAUUGAAGUGAGAGCUGCAGUGAGAUUGGCAAACCACUAUCGACUAGCCUGCUUGAGACCAUAUAAUGAUUUUUGCAACUUGCAAACCUUAUGGGAAGUGGAGGAAGCAAAACCAGAAGGAAAAAGCAUGUAAACCUCUUCAGUCAAAUCUCCAUGCAAAAAUGCAUUGUUAACAUCAAGCUGGUGCAAAAACCAGUCUUUGGAAGCAGCAAUAGCAAGCAAUAAUCGAACAAUAGUAAUCUUGGCCAUAGGGGAAAAAGUAUCAAAAUAAUCAACACCCUCAGUUUGUGUGAAUCCUUUAGCAACCAAACGAGCCUUGUAACGCUCAAUAGAACCAUCGGCUCGAUAUUUCACACGAUAGACCCAUUUGCAACCGAUUGCAAUUUUGCCUGGAGGUAAGUCCAUAAUGAUCCAGGUGUUAUUUUGUUCAAGAACAGAAAUUUCAGCUUGCAUUGCUUCUUGCCAAUGGGGAAUUUUGCUAGCUUGUAAAUAGGUUGUAGGUAUGAGAGAAGCAUUGAUAGCAAGAGUAACAGGUGUGGCGCAUCGAAGAUGAUUGGCAACAGCUUUGCUAGAAAAACAGUGAUAUUGGUCUAAAUAUGAAGGAGGUUUCCUAAUACGAGGUGGCCUAGAAGGUUGUAAAGGAACGGGAGGUGAGGGUUGUGAUUGAAUUGGCAAGUCAUAGGUAAUGGUGGAGUCAAAGGUUAACUGUGGGAUGGAAGAGGAAGAAGAUGGUUGUUGAGAAAAAGGGAAAACGGACUCAUGGAAAUGGACAUUUCUGGAUAUGAAAAUGGCAUGGGUUGAUAGGUCAAAAAGAAUAUAGCCUUUGACAUGAGGUGGAAAACCAAGAAAGACACACUCACGUGCUCGAGGAUCCAACUUAUGACGAUGAGCAGUAAAAGUAGUUGCAAAACAAAGACAGCCAAAGACACGGAGGUGCUGAAAAGAUGGCUUAGUUUGGUAUAAUUUGUCAAAAGGGGUAAGGUUAGCCAAAAUGGGAGUAGAGGUAUGAUUAAUAAGAAAAACAGCAUGAAGAAUAGCAUGUCCCCAAAAAUGCUUAGGCAAAUGAGAAUGAAAUAAGAGAGCCCGUGCAAGAUUAAGAAUGUGUUGGUGCUUGCGUUCUACAAGACCGUUUUGUUGUGGGGUUUCAACACAUGUAGUUUGAUGAAUUGUGCCUUUGGAAGCAUAAAAGGCUGGAAUGGCAAACUCACAACCAUUGUCAGAUCGAAUGACUUUAAUUUUGGAUGAGAACUGAGUUUCAACAAGUGUGAAAAAAUUCUGAAUGUGAGUACGAACUUCAGAUUUUGCUUUCAAUAAAAUAAUCCAAGUAAAGCGACUAAAAUCAUCAACAAUGGUUAAAAAAUAACGAUGACCAGUAAUGGAAAUAACAUCAGUUGGACCCCAAAUAUCAACAUGAACAAGUUCAAAAAUUUUAUUGGAAACGGAAGUGCUUACAAGAAAAGAUAAUUUCUUUUGUUUGGCCAAAUGGCAGGCUUUACAAGGUGCAUUAUUUGACAAAAACAAAGAAGGAAUGUAAGGGAAAAGUAGUUUUAGUCGAGAAUCGGAAAGAUGACCGAGACGAUGAUGCCAAAUGGAACAGGAAGAUGUGUUGGCUGACAAGGCAAUGGGAGCAGAAAUGGAAAAAGUUUGAGCUGUGGAGUCCAAAAUAUAAAGACCAUGGAGCACUCUAGCUGUACCAAUCAUCUUCGAAGAAGGAAGAGCCUGUAUAGAACAAUGAGUUUUAUGAAAGGUAAAGGAAUAAGGUAAUAUAGGAGUGAGUUUAGUGACAGAUAAAAGAUUAAAGGUAAAUUGAGGAACAUAGAGAACAUUAGUAAUGUAAAGACUAUUAUUGAAAAUGACUGUACCAGAAAUUCGAGCACAAACUUUAGUGCCAUUUGGAAGGUUGAUGUAUAUAGGUUUAAUGGAAUGAAAAGAAGCAAAAAACGAUAAAGAGUGAGCAAUAUGAUCAGUGGCACCUGUGUCAAUAAUCCAAUGAUGGGAUUGAAGAGAAAAGAGGUUACCUGAGGAUGGGGAAGGGUUCGGUUGUGAGGAAGAAGCAGUAUUGGUAACAUAAGGUGAGGAGGUAGAUGCUGGAAGUAAUGCAAGUAGCUGUUGCAACUGAUCUUGUGUCAAAGUAACAGAAGGAUCAGAUGGCAAAAUAUCAACAUGCUGCGAAGAGUCCAAAGGUUGUGCAACACAAUCAUUAAGGGCUGUGUGUGCACGAGAGGCCCGACCUCGAGACUUAUAACCAGGUGGAUAUCCAUGCUUUUCAUAACAAGUAUCAACAGUAUGCCUGGAUUUGCCACAGAAGGUACAUUACCGUGAAUCAGUAGAUGAUUUUGCCUGAGGUUUCUUUGAAGUGUGGUGGCGCAGUGUGUUGCUAACAAACAACUAAGAUAAGCCAGUAGAAAGGUGACGUUCUUGUUGAAUAACCAGGGAAAACACUUUGUUGAUUGGAGGCAAGGGAUCGAUAAGCAUGAUUUGAGAACGAACAGCAGCAAACCGAUCAUGGAGACCCUUAAGAAAACGAAUAACGUAGUCGUUAUCAUGAUAUUUCUGGAGAGUGACAAAAACACCGCAAGAGCAAGAUGGUGAACAAGAACAAACUGGAAUUGGUCGAAAAUUCAUCAACUCAUCCCAGAGAAUUUUUAACUCAGUAAAGUAAUCAGUAACGGAACGAUCAUCUUGCUUGAAAGCAUUGAUCUCUUCUUGGAGAGCAGAAAUGCGGAAAACAUUACCUUGAGAAAAGCGUUCACGAAGAUCGCACCAAACAUCAUAAGCAAAGUCGAGCCAAAGAACACUGUUCAUGAUCGAGGGCGAGAUGGAAUGGUGCAACCAAGAAAGCACCAUAGUGUUACAUCGUUCCCAUGCAGAAUAAAGAGGAUCCGUUCGAGGUGGAACCGUGAUGGUGCCGUCAACAAACUGGAGCUUGUUGUUGGAUAGAAAUGCCAUUGUCAUAGCUCGAGACCAAAAGUGAUAGUUUGAGCUUCAUAAGAUAGGAGAAACAAGAACCAAAGUUGGGUUUUCAUUUGGAUGCAGAUAGUAUAGGCUAGAAGGCAGCAUAGUAUCAUGAAAUGCCAUUGGAAGAAAAGGGAAUCAAGAAUGCAGAUUAUGGAGAAAGCAAAAAAAUAACGUCUGAUACCAUGUAGAAUAAUGAAAGAGAACUUCUCAAGUAUAUUGGAUACUAACGUAUUGUUAUAUACAAGCAGGGAAAGGAAGUAACAGAAAAAUAACUACUAACUGACUAACAAGAAAUUAAUUUAAAACUAUAUGACUAAUAAUACUUUAUAAUUUUCAUAUACAUAUUUUUUAUUUUCAUAUAAUUUAUAUACAUACCUACAUAUUUUUAGAUAUAUACAUACUUACGUUUUUUUUUUCUUUUUUUUGCUUUAUAAUUUAUAUAUAUAUGUAUAUACAUUCACACAUUUUAUAAUUUAUAACUUAAAUAUAUUGAUAUACUCUUCGUAUUGUUAUUGUUGUUCUAUUGGAUAUUUAUUUAUUCAUUUAUUUAUGUGUUCGUCAUUAUUUUUAGGAAAUACUUUAGUUCCCUUUUUAUUUACUUGUUAUUUCAUAUAUACUUAAUUUGUUUUUUAUGUAUUUUAUUUUUUUGAUUGUUGCUCAUAUUAGUUAUGCAUGUAUUAUCAUGUUCAUUAUCAUUUUGCUAUACAUAUUAAUAUUGUGUUUAUUCCUACCAUUUUAUGUUAAAUUAAUUUUAUUUAAUGUAAAUCAUGGCUUUAAAAUAAGCAUAAUUUCGUAUUCUGAGAUUCGAAAAGAUUGUGCCCUAACUUACGGGGUUUCGACUUUCUCGACAAAUUCAAACGUACGAAUCCUUUCAAACUUAAAUUUUUUAAACAAUCCCGAAAAUUAUUAAAAGAUCGUAUUCUAACUUGCGGGACAUGAUUUCUUUUCUAAACCCUAGAUAAUCAAAUAUCUUUCAAAAUAAAUAAUUUAUUUUUUGGGCAUUUAUUCAUGUAUCGAGAAUUCAAGACAUUGUAUCCCAACUUACAGUACUAUAUAAUUCUCUUUCUCGAUUAGCAUUUCAACAAAGGAUCAUGAUUUGAAUCUUUUUCAAAUUUUCAAUCUUCGACAUUAGGACACUAAUUAAUCAACGAGGGUGCUAAUCCUUCCUCGUACGUAACCGACUCUCGAACCUGUUUUCUAAUUUUCGUGGACCAAAAUCGUUGUUUUGAUAAAACCAAAUUGUUUAUUAAAACAAUCAUUUUUCGAGGUGGCCCGAUCACACCUCAUCAAAAAAGAUUGGUGGCGACUCCCAUUUUCGUUUUUAUUUUUCAAAACCCAAGUCGACCCCGUUUUCACAAAAAAAAUAGUGUCAACAAUUAGGUAAAAAAUACUAAUAAUUUAGUAAUUAUUUUGUAAUUUUUUAAAUAAUUGAAUGACUUAACGACGUGAAAUAGAAAACGAGAAAACAAAUUUAAAACAAAAAUAAACAAAAACGAUGUACUUAACUGUUAUUUCCUUCUUCUCCAACAAAAACCCCGUCGUUUUAAUCCCUAAACCUAAUGUGAGCCAGACACCUUACAUCAAUAUGAUUCCUCCCAGUUACUACAUGGGACCAUUCAGAAAUUUGUGUCAAGCAACGUUAAACAUGGUGGGACCAUUUCCAACCAAACAACAUUGUUUUCAUUUAAUAAUAAAUGUGUUAUUUGUAUUAAAUAUUCUCAAUUUAUUAUUUAAUUUUAAAAAAAAUUAAUUUAUAAAUUCUAAAAUAUUUUAAUUAAAUUUUGAAAGUAUUAAUAUUAUAUCAAUAAAAUUAUUUCAUUUUUAUAGUUAUCAAUUUAGGUUUUUAAAUUUCACUUCAGAUUUAACAUGAAUUAAAUUGUAAAUACUUGCGUACUCAUCAUAUUGAUAACUUGAUUCUAACAUAUUAAAAACACGAUGAGAUUAUAAAAUUUAAGAGGAUUAUUUUUUUAACACAUUAGAUUCAAGUUGUCCAUAUAACAUGUACACACGUGUUUUAAGUAUGUCUCCUAUCAUAUUUGAGCGAACAUUUAAUGCUCAAGCUAACGGCUAAGUUAAUAGAAAAAUGGGAUAAAUUUCAAAACUAUAUAUAAACUUUGGCAUAAUAUGUAAUUUUAUACAUGAAAUUUCAAUUUAAUUCAAUUUUCACAAAUUAUUAACACAAUUAUUAAUAUAGCAUCAUUUUAUGUUUAUAUAUUGCAUAAACAAAUAAUUAAAUUUAUCCACGACAAAAAUAAAUUGAUGUAUCUAUUUCUUUAAAUAUGUAUGGUUGAGUCAAAAUAAAAAUUUAUGUAUAAUUUUAAAAUUUAUCUCUAGAAAAAUUAAAUUGGUAUAAUUAUGAUAUCUUAAAGAAUUCAAUUAAAAUGUUAUUUGGGUUAUAAUCUGCGAAUGUAUAGUGCAAGCAAUCAUUUUAUAUGUUUUAAUUUUAUUUAUCAUCUUAUUUUAAAGGAAAAUUAUUUCAUUCAAUACUGAUAAAGUUUAAAAAUUAAACAAAUAGAGUUAAAUGGGCAACACAUACCUCUUUAAAGUGAAGUAAAAUAAAAUUUUAAUGGGUCACUAUGAUCAUUGGAUCAUGUUGAUGGAGAACUUCUUGCAGGCAUGUGUGAGGCCGUGUAGGCUACACGGGCUGGCUAAUUGGGCUAUGUGGACCCUUUUUUGGAAAAAAUUCACCUAGGUCCGUAUGACUCUAAAAUUUGUAAUUAGACUUUCCUUAGAGCCAUACUACUUCAUUAAGGCUUGGAAACAAUGUAUUUGUUAAUAUGCUUCUGUGUAUGAUGUGUUUAAGGUAUGUGGAAUAUAUUUGCAUGAUCUGAUACUGAUAGUUCUCAUGGUGUGUUCUGAUUCGGUAUGUCUGUAAAUGUGUGUAUGAUGUGUGAUUUUGUUAAUUUGUAUUUCUAAAUCGGCCAUAUGACCAUGCAUGUGACAUUGUGGCUUUUCUGUUAAGGUGAUUUGUAAUUAUGAUAUAUCUAUAUACAAAGCAUGAAAUCACAUGCUUACUGAUUUUUGUUAAGAAUAUGAAUGCAUGUUCGACAUGCUUAUCAUUCUGUUUCAGUUUAUGCAUGCCACGUCACAUUGCAUGGGGUUUGGAUAUUAUGGUAUGGAGAAAGUUUCAGCAGUUUAAUCAUCUACAUUAUCUGGUGAUUUAUUCACAUUUCUCUCUACAUUUAUGGUGGCUCGACCACACACAUGUUAUUUUGACAGCUUGGCUACAAUAUAGUGGCUUGUCCACAUAUAUUCGAUUUGAUAGUUUUAACUUCAAUCUCUGGUGGCAUUGACCAGAAUAAGUAUGUUGGUGUGAUUGGAUGGACGAGUUCUGGGGAACUCUAUUUGGUGUGUAUUGGACUUGGGUAGGAUAUUUUCUAUAUAAAAAAAAACCAGCAUUACUUUUUUUGGAUAAAUAAGCACACAUUCUUAGUUUUGCUCAAAUCAUCGUUAUGAAAGUCUCUGUGAUUCUGUGAAUUGUUGGCUGUGUUAUUUGAGUUCUAGGUUUGAGUUUGUUACACACUGAGCUUUAUAGCUCACCCAUUUGUUUAAUCUCUGACUUUUAUGGUAAUCUUUGAGUUUAGGAUCGGACGGCGCGGGAGCUCAAAUUGUUUUCUCGAUUAAAUAAUUUUGGGUUGUGAUACUUUGUCAAUUAAGUAAUUCUUGACAGCCUAAAAGAUAAUUUUUUAGUGGACUUAUUCUUUGAAAUACGGGUGAAAUAAUUAUCUCAACUUGGUAAACAAUUUUGGUUUUCAUUUUACUUUUUGGUUGUAUUGGAAGCUGUUUCAAGGUUUUGUUCAAUCAAUGGUUGUAAUCCUUCUUCGAACGAGAGAGAAUUUGAAACAGAUUGAAGUGUAGACUUGACUUAUUUUAAUUUAAGCAAGCAGUAUGAUAAUUUUUAGGUGUUUGGGGUUUUUCAUUUCUCUUGGGGCAUGGUUUUGAGGAUGAAAGAUGAUUUUUUAAAGAGAGGUUAUGCUUUACGAUUUGACAUGGGUUUCAUAUACUUUGUUAUUAUUUUUAUGAUUUGUUAUUUUAUUUUAGUUGUCAUGUAUUUCGUUUAGGUGAGGUUUAAUUUAAGGUGUUUUGGGUAUGAGUAAUAUGUUCUAUUAAUUGUAAUAUCGUUACCUCAUUAGGAGUUUCGUAUGUAUGUAAACAAUAAAUUAAAAAUCAAAAUUUUUCUAACGAAGUAGUCAUGUCUUAUUAAUUGUUUAACUUAGGUGUAUUACUUUAUUUUGAAAAAUUAACUGAAAAUAUUAAUGUUAAUAAUAAACAAAAUGCGACCACUGUUAAUAAUAUAUAUUAACGCACUAACAAAUUCAAUAAAAAAAUUUAACAGUACUAACAAUUGGACCUGAAAUUUGAACUCUAAAAAGUAAAAGAAUUAAAUUCCUAUAACUAUAAGUAUAGAGACUAAAUUUCAAAUUUAUAGUGAGUACAAAGACAUAUGGCAUAUAACCUAAAAAAGGGUAACCUACUUUAGUAGUCACCCAACUAAGUUUUUUUUUUUGGUCAUUCAAUUAUGAAAAGUUACAAAAUAGUUGCCCAACGAUUCAAUUUUAUCAUUUUUAUCAUCAGUUGGCUAAUGAAAAAAUAGAAAACACCAAAAAUCUAAGAUAAUUGGGUGAAAAAAAAGGAAAAAAUAAUAGUUUAUUGAAUAUUUUGUAACUUUUUAUAAUUAGAUAAAAAAAUACUAAUAAUUUAGUGAUUAUUUUGUAACUUUUUAAAUAGUUAAAUAACUUAACGACGUCAAAUAGAAAAUGAGAAAACAAAUUUAAAACAAAGAUAAACAAAAACGAUGUACUUAACGACAUUAUUUCCCUUUUCUCCAACCGAAACGCCGUCGCUUUGAUCCCCAAACCUAAUAUAAGCACACCUUACAUCAAUAUGAUACCUCCCAAUUACUGCAUGGGACCAUUCAGAAAUUUGUGUCAAACAACGUUAAACAUGGUGGGACCAUUUCCAACCAAACAACAUUGUUUUCAUUUAAUAAUAAAUGUGUUAUUUGUAUUAAAUAUUCUCAAUUUAUUAUUUAAUUUUUUAAAAAAUUAACUUAUAAAUUCUAAAAUAUUUUAAUUAAGUUUUGAAAAUAUUAAUAUUAUAUCAAUAAAAUUAUUUCAUUUUUAUAGUUGUCAAUUUAGGUUUUUAAAUUUCACUUCAGAUUUGACAUGAAUUAAAUUAUAAAUACUUGCGUACUCAUCAUAUUGAUAACUUAAUUUUAACAUAUUUAAAACACGAUGAGAUUAUAAAAUUUAAGAGGAUUAUUUCCUUUUUUUUAACACAUUAGAUUCAAGUUGUCCAUAUAACAUGUACACACAUGUUUUAAGUAUGUCUCCUAUCAUAUUUGAGCAAACAUUUAAUGCUCAAGCUAACGGCUAAGUUAAUAGAAAAAUGGGAUAAAUUUCAAAACUAUAUAUAAACUUUGGCAUAAUAUGUAAUUUUAUACAUGAAAUUUCAAUUUAAUUCAAUUUUCACAAAUUAUUAACACAAUUAUUAAUAUAACAUCAUUUUAUGUUUAUAUAUUAUAUAAACAAAUAAUUAUAUUUAUCCACGACAAAAAUAAAUUGAUGUAUCUAUUUCUUUAAAUAUGUAUAGUUGAAUCAAAAUAAAAGUUUAUGUAUAAUUUUAAGAUUUAUCUAUAGAAAAAUCAAAUUGGUAUAAUUAUGAUAUCUUAAGAAUUCAAUUAGAAUGUUAUUUGGGUUAUAAUUUGCGAGUGUAUAGUGCAAGCAAUCAUUUUAUUUGUUUUAAUUUUAUUUAUCAUCUUAUUUUAAAGGAAAAUUAUUUCAUUCAAUACUUUCCUUGAAGAGUUUGCAGUAAGGGACUGCAAGGAGGUUGAUUUAGAGGGCAUGCAAUGGGAACCCCUUAAGAAUCUCUCUCAUUUGGAGAUUGAUAAUAUUCCAAAGCUGGUGUCUCUCCCCAUUUGGCUCCAACAUCUUGUUCAAUUGAAAACAUUAAAAAUUCAUAACUGCAAUGGAUUGAGGUCACUGCUUCCUGUGUUCCAACAUCUCACUUUCCUUGAAGAGUUUGAAGUAAAGGACUGCAAGGAGCUGGAGUUAUCUGGAGCUGGCAUCCAAAUAUUCCAAGAUCAUACAAGCCUACGCUCUCUAUGGCUGCAAAGUAUUCCAAAGUGUCGGCAUCUUCCGGAGUGGCUUCAACAUCUAACAAAUCUGCAACGGCUUUUUCUCGUUAAUUUGCCCAAUUUAACAUCUCUUCCGGAGUGGCUUCAACAUCUAACAAAUCUGCAAGGGCUUUAUCUCGGUUAUUUGCCCAAUUUAACAUCUCUUCCGGACGAGAUGCGUUGCCUAACCAAAUUGCAAAUUUUAGAAAUAGAAGGAAUUCCUCAGUUGGAGGAAACAUGUCGGAAGGACAUUGGCGCUGAUUGGCAAAAGAUUGCUCACAUCCCCAACAUUCGGUUGAUUCAGGUUGGUCCCUCUUUGUUAUUUAUUUAUUUUGAUGACCUUAUCUUUUUUUGAAGAAAAAUAAGAGUGGUAUAUUGAAUCUCCAAGUCAGGGGUCUGAUGCUAUUUUUCAUUGAAGUUGGAUACUGUUAAUUUCCUUGUUAAAAUCCCUUUGUUUUAAUCCUACUUUUUACUUAUCAUCUUUCAUAAUAUUUUUGCUGAUUUGUGCAGUAAGGCAUUGGAGAAAGGCAUUAGUCAACUUCAAUCAUUUUAUAUGCAUAAAAAAGAGGUGCUAAUUUACCUAUUUGCUUUUUACUUUAAAUCAUAAUAGUAACUUGACAAUUGCUUCUACUAAUUUAAUUCUAAAAAAUUAUUGAUGUGGAGAGAGAGGCCUAUGAAGCCUUCAAAAUGGUUGUACUAUAUGCUCUGCUUUCUUCAUUUAAGCACUUACCUAUCAUAUCUUUAUAUAUAUUUAUGUUUUCUCUUAAUAUAUGCCAACUGAUUACUACCUUAGAUGGUACCUGUGAUAUUGACAGGCUUUUGGAGGUAUUUAAAUUCAUAAUAUUCAUUGAUGCAGGGCACUCUUUUAGCUGUUUGGAGUUCCAGCUAAAUUUGUUAUUGAAGGUCCAAAUAGGAGAAAAAGGAAGAUGCUUCAGAAUAUUUGGUGGUGAGGUUGAAUUUGAUAAAAUGUUUCAUUAUUUAUAUAUCAAGAGUAUUAUACUAAACACAGAUAUGUGUAAAUAUAAGGCUGAUAAUAAUGGGAUUUGUAACAUAUUCUAUGUUGGCAUUUAUAAUUUUCAGGUUCAUUGAUGCUUUUGGAAGAGUCGUUGUUCAAGCAUGACAAUUGCCAGACAUAUUGCAUUUGAAAAUUCUUAUUCCUCUUUACAUGGAGCUUAUUAAGAGCUUGAUUCAUAGUAGGAAAACCAUUGGAUGUUGAAUGUGAAUUUUCACUUGCAUAGCUAAAAUGAGUUGGGAGAGAAUUUACUUAAUUGUACAAAAGUGAUGUUGCAUCAAGUGUUCAAAGGGUUAGGCUUAAAUCAUUUCUUUAUACUAUAAAGUUCAUAGAGGAUUCAUCCUUGGGCAAAGCACCGCAGACGUAGGACAAGUUCCGAACCGAGUAAACAUCUUAAUUGUACUCUUUAUUUUUCUUAUUGCAUAAUAUGUGCCAACUCAGGAAAAAACACAUUUAUGUUUUUUUAGACAGUAUUCCAAGGCUAUGUUCAAUUAUAAUGCUUGGAUUAGGACCGUUCCAAAAGAUGUCAAUUUCCUGGCUGUAUAUACAUAUGACUUGUGUGUUGAUGCUUAUGUUGGCACACGUUAAAUUACAAGUUGAAUAACAACUUGUAAUUUGUUCUUGUCGUUUAAACAAAACAUAAGGCUUUUCCUUUGGAAUCUCGAUGCGACGAGGUACUGCAAUCCUCGAAAGGAAGGAAGGACAUGGGCAAUGGCAGGGGUGUUUCUUGGUGAGCUAAGGAAAUCAAAGUCUCCUAGGAGGAUUCUAGCCCAUCAAUUCCCUCUAUAUUAGCAACAAUGAACCUGCAGACUAUAAAUAUCAAUAUAUAGACUGAGUAGUGUCCAAAUGUAGAAGAAACACUUGCUGUUACUAAAAACAUGACUCCAUAUUUUGUGCGCAAAUGGUGGCCAAACACAACAUCAUUUUUGUCUGCCGCGCUCUUCCUUUUUAAUUGCUGAGAAAAAUCAGCAAUAUUUCAAAGUACUGCCAAUGGCAGGCAAAAUUACAAGGUCCCUUAGUAUUUGUGCACGGUUAUAUCUACGUUAACAAUCAACUGAAUUGAAGAAAAUAAAAUAAAAAAGAGCAUAAGUUUAGCAAAUGCAUAUGUACGAGAGCUUGUACAAGAAAACUUACUGUUAACCAUAAGAACCAUCAGAAAUGCUUCGCUACUUGAUUCAAAAGUUAAUUCAGAAAGGCCAAAACUCAAAGAGAUAAAUGGCAUGACAAAAUCAAGUAAAGUAACUAGUAAUUCACUUGUUAUCGCGUUGAAGACAAUAAAGAAAAAGAAUAUAAUAUACGAAUAUAGUUUUGUCCGAUAAACUAGCAGAGCAGUCGUAUUAUACAUGAGGGGGAAACUAUAGUGAUAAACAUUAUGGAUAUCAACUGAAUCAUUUUUCAAACAUCCAUCAAAGACAAAACAUCAAAAGAACUAACAUCCAUCUGGCUUUCUUCAUAUAGAGCACGGCAUUAAAUGUUCAACUUUAAACCCAGAAUGGAGUAGCAUAACAUAACCUUCCUCUCUUACUGUCGAAACCGUUUUUUUUGAAAAUAAAAAUUUAGUUGUCGACUUUAAAAAUAAAACUGGAGUCGCCACCGAUCCUUUAUUAAGGUGUGAUCGGCCCACCUUAAAAAUAAUUUUGGUCUACGAAUUUUGAAAAAACGAGUUCGGAAGUCAGUUACGCACGAGGAAGGGUUAGCACCCUCGUGACGCCCAAAAUCGGUACCAAAUUGAUCAUUUAAUGUCUUUGUGUCGAAGGUUAAAAAGAUUUUAAAAUCAACUCAAAUGAUGAAAUUUGAAAAAGGAUAAUCAAUUGUUCAAGUCAUGUAAAGAAAUCGAGUCCCAAUACGUUAGGGUACAAUUCCUCAUAAUUCCCGAACUUUGAAUAUCACUUUAUUUUAUGCGAAAAUCUUCAUUUAGAGAAAGUAACAUGCCACACCCAAUACGUUAGGACACGGCAAGUUAAGUUCCCAAAAAUGAUUUUUAUACUCAUGCAUUUUGAAUAAAGAAUAUCCUCGGUUAUCUAGAAUUAGAAAAGAAAAUCGGAACCCAAUACGUUAGGGCUCAAUUUCCUCGAAAAUUCCCAACCUUGAAUAUUGUUUUUAUUCAAAAAAAAAAACUUUUAAGUCAAGAAAAUAAUUUUGAUGUACUGUCAAAACCAAAAUGUAUUUCCCAAAAGGUAAGUUAAAAGUUAGUGUAUAAUAUGAGACAAAAACUUUAACUUAAAGCAUAUAUGAAUAUAUAUUUACAAAAUAAAAAGAAUAAAAUGUAUAGGUAUAUGUACAUGGUAAAUUGUAAAAAUACGUAUAUGAAUAUUGAAACACUUAUAUAUAUGUAAAAAAUGUAUAUAAAUAAUAGAGUAUACAUAGAAUAAUAAAAAAAAUGUUUAUAAUAACUCGGCAAUAUCAAAAAAAUGUAUAUAUAUAGUGUAAAAAUGUGUAUUUUGAAUUAUAAAAUGUAAAUAUAUGUAUAGAUGUGUGUACAAAAGUCAUGAAAAUAAAAUAUAAAAUAUAAAUAAAAAAAUAAGUAUAAUACAUUAAUAAAUUAUGGGUAUUAUAUAUAUAUGUAUAUAUAAAAAAUAGGAAAAUAGAAUAAAGUAAAAAAUAUAUAUAUAUGUAUUUAAAACGUGUAAAGUAUGUAUACAUUGUACAUAUGCGUAAUAAGAGUAUAAUAAUAAUAAAUAAUAAUGUACAACCAUAGAAAUAAUAAUAAUAGUAAUAAAUAUAACAUAAUUAAUAAAAAAAAAAGUAAAACAACAAAUUAAGGAUUAAAUUGAAAAUAAACGAAUUUUUGAAGCUAAAUUUAAAGAUGAAAAAUAAAAAAAAAAACCAAAUUAAGACACGUGCAACAGUUGGAGGACCGUAAGGGUAAUUUACCCAAUUUCCCAAACGUUGCGCAGCAACAUGGACCAAAUUAAAACAGUAAUAAAACAUACAACCAAAUUUUAAAGAAAUAAAAGACCGAUUUAAACACCCCUCAUAAAAGAGAGGACCAAAUGAGGAAUUGGCCCAUUUUAAAAAAAAAGUGCGCGGAUCCUGGGACCGGGUCGGGUCACCGCGCGGGUCAUGGCCCCCCCAUACGGCGUCGUUUUGCAAGUGUUAUUUAAAAGGGAAAAAAACCUAAAAAAAACAUUUGCAGGUCCCCAAAAAAAACAAAGGAGGGCCGCCCCUUUUCCUCUGCUAGGGUUUCGGCCCUAGCCCCCUUUUGCGCCGCCGUUCAAGUGAUUCAAUCGGUUCGAAAUCCGGUGCCGAUCCCGAUCCCGACUCAGGUAAGUUUUCUUUUCGUUCUCCUUUUUAUUUUAAAUAGAAAAAUAAAUGGAAAAAUAAAAAAAACAGAAAAACUAAAAGCGAUUCACCUUCGAAAAAACUUUUUCAGUAUAUUUUCUCUCUAUAUCUUCUUUACACUCACUUCCCCCCCCCUUUUACACUGAUUUCCCCCUCGGUUUUUAUAACCGAAAAAUAAAGAAGAGGAAAAAAAAUCUCGCAAAACCCCCCUUAUUUUCUGUUCUUGUUGUAUUUGUGCGCCUCCUUUUUUGCAGGUUUGGUGGCGUAGAAAGCGUAUGCACGUGGAGGCGCAAAUCGCGCGGAGGGAGGCUUCUGGCCCCGAGUCGUGCGGCGGUUGGGGUUGCUUGGCUGCGGCGCUAGGGGUUGUGCUGAAGGUUCUAGGGUUUUUUAUAGUUGGGCUGGUUUGGUUAUUGUUUGGGUAAUUAGGCUUGAGUUUUAAUUUUGUUGGGCAUGUAUUGGUUUAGGCCCGGGCAAUUUGGGCUUGUACACUUACCAUAGCAUUUAUAUUACAUAAAACAAACAUAAUGUAAUAGCCCAUUUUUGCCUGGGCCCAACACACCCAAACUUAACAACCCCCAAAAUAAAAACCCAAACCCAAACAGCCCAAAUUACAAAAAAACCUAGCCCAAUAGGCCCACAACAUAAAUGUUUUUAGCAACAAAGGAGGCAGAAACCCUAGGGCGCGCCGCAUGUCAGCAAGGCUCCCUCGCACGCCUCCGUUGCAGCACGUCACCUCCACGCAUCGUACGCCUCUGUUACAUGCCAGAAAAAACAAGACAGAAAAUGACAACAAGCAGAAAAACAAAUUGCAAAACGACAAAAAAUAGAAAUUUAGGGGUUUUUCAAAUCGGCUAUAAAAGCCGAAUAUGAUCGCUGUAAUGCUUCUUCUUCCUUUUUGGAGUCUUUAUUAUUAUUAUUUUUGGUUCAAGAUAGUCAUAUUUCUUUUAAAAAAAUAUUCAAGACUCCAAUAUGGAAAUAAUUACCAAGUUUAGAAGUUAACUUGAACAAAAGAAAAGUCUAAGCUAUGAGAACGGUUUCCUAUUCUAAGCCCUAAUAUGACAACAAUUAUUAAGUUCAAAAAUUAACUUGAACAAAAGAAAAAUUCAAACCUCAAAGUGAGAAUCGUUGUCUAAUCUAAUCCUCAUUGUGGAAUAAGUGCCAAUUUCAAAAAUUAACUUAGAUAAAAAUAUUUAAACCCUAAUAUAAGAAUAAAUACAAAAUUUAUACCCCAAAUAGUGUUUCAAUUUGUUAUUUUCUUUUGUUUGCCUAACCCAUUUCUCAAUGCGAGCUGGGGGUGGCUUUUAAUUUUGAGGUUUACCAAGUAGAAAAAAAUACAUUAUUUUUCUAUUGAAAAGGAUCGUUGACAUUAAGAGAGGGUUAGAUUUUUGCAAGUGAGAAUUUAAUAAUGAGGAAAAACACAAGAUGAAAGAGAAAAAUUGGAGAGACCCUUUUAUGAGAGAAAAUUAGAGUUUGGGUCCAUGGAUUCAUAAUAUCUUAACACCUUGGAUUUCAUGGGUUUGGCUCCUUCGUCUGUUUUCUUUGGUAGAUUUUUCAUUGGUUUCAUAUUGUGCACUCAGCUUUUGAAGCUCUUUUCUCCCAGAUAUUUCAAUUAUUUGUACGGAUCCACAUAGACAAAUUUUGCUCAAGUUGAUGUAAUUGUGGAGAGCACCCGAAGUGUCAUCAUCCCAACUUCAUUUAGAUGCAGAAAAAGAGGUGGUAAUUACUUAAUUGCUUUACAUUUUUAAAUCAUAAUAAUCUCACAAUUUCAAAUGAUCUAAUAACUCCCAUGAAAUCCUCCUCUGUAUGCACAUUUGUUCUUUCUUUUCUUUUUUUCUUUGUUGAAGAGUCCCUCUGAUGACCUAAUCCUAAUUUUUGUUAGAUUUUGGCUCUCUUCUUCGGCGGAGCAUGGCAUAUAUUACAAGAAGCAGAGGUAAUAUAUGUUCAACUACGAUCUGUUCAUCUGCCAAAAUAUUCCAACAAAACAAAAAUGAUAAUAUAUGUCAUCAGUUUCCUUAUAAUUUCCAACUGAUCUGAUACAAAAUUAUAUAUAUGGAGUAUUUCAAGAGUUGUAAUAUAUAUGCCAACAGCUUAUAUGGUACCAAUGCUAUUGACAGAUUCUUUGGAGUCGUGUUGGAGAGAGCUUAAACACGCAAUGUCAUUUUCAAGUAAGUCAAUUGAAUAAGGGCUGAGGGUUGAUGAAAAUGGAGGGGGAAGAGGGGGAUAGUUCACAAUAUUCACUGGUGCAGGGCACCCAUUUUAGCUGUUUGAUUUUUUAAGGUUGCAUCAGGAGAGGAUCUUGCUUCAGAAUAUUCGGUGGUGAGGUUGAGGUUGAUUAAAUGUUUUCAUUAUUUAUAGACGAAUAACAACAUAUUAACACUAAUGGGGAUGUGAAUUUGUUACCAUUACAGAUGAUGGUGAUGUUAAUAAAACCUGAUUGUUAUCCUUGUUUCUAGGUAAGUAGUUACUGCACAUCAAGGACUUAGUAACUAAAAAUUAUGGGUUUAUUUAGUUUAUAUUUUUUCUCUACUUGUUAAGAGUUCUAUUGUGAGUCUUAUUACGUCAGUGCCUAGCUUUUUGUUUUUCUAUUAUGUAAAAGCCUAUAUAAAUAGGCUCUUGGAUUGUGAAUUAUUUUACUCAUCAUUUUAUUUUUCUCUUUCCUUUUUUAUUUUCAUCUUGUUGUUAUCUCUCUGAGUAAGUUAACAGUGGUGCCAAAGCUAGUCAAAAGAAGAGUAUUUUCGGUGAGAGGAAAAAGUUGGUGGUCCUCCUAUGGCUUCUGAAAAUUUUGUGCAGCCAGCUAUUCCACGUUUUGAUGGUCACUAUGAUCAUUGGAUCAUGUUGAUGGAGAACUUCUUACGGGCAUGUGUGAGGCCCUGUGGGCCACACGAGCUGGCCAAUUGGGCUGUGUGGACCCACUUUUUGAAAAAAUUCACCUAGGUCCGUUUCACUCUAAAAUUUGUAAUUAGACUUUUCGUAGGGCCAUACUACUUAAUUAAGGCUUGGAAACAAUGUAUUUGUUAAUAUGCUUCUAUGUAUGAUGUGUUUAAGGUAUGUGGAAUAUAUUUGCAUGAUCUGAUACUGAUAGUUCUCAUGGUAUGUCCUGAUUUGCUAUGUCUGUAUAUGUGUGUAUGAUUUGUGAUUAUGUUAAUUUGUAUUUCUAAAUCGGCCAUAAGACCAUGCAUGUGGCAUUGUGGCUUUUCUGUUAAGGUGAUUUGUAAUUAUGAUAUAUCUAUAUACAAAAUAUGAAAUCACAUGCUUACUGAUUUUUGUUAAGAAUAUGAAUGCAUGUUCAACAUGCUUAUCAUUCUAUUUCAGUUUAUGCAUGCCACGUCACAUUGCAUGGGGUUAGGAUAUUAUGGUAUGGAGAAAGUGUCAGCAGUUUAAUCAUCUGCAUUAUCUGGUGAUUUAUUCACAUUUCUAUUUACAUUUAUGGUGGCUCGACCACACACAUAUGUUGUUUUGACAACUUGGCUAUAAUAUAGUACCUUGUCUACAUAUAUUCGAUUUGAUAGUUUUAACUGCAAUCUCUGGGGGCAUUGACCAGAGUUAUUAUGUUGGUGUGAUUGGAUGGACGAGUUCUGGGGAACUCUAUUUGGUGUGUACCAGAGUUGGGUAGGAUGUUUUCUAUAUAUAAAAAAAACCAGCAUUACCUUUUUUUGGAAAAAUAUUGCAUUGGCAUAAGCACGCAUUCUGAGUUUUGCUCAAAUCAUCAUUAUGAAAUUCUCUAUGAUUCUGUGAAUUGUUGGUUGUGUUAUUUGAGUUCUAGGUUUGAGUUUGUUACACACUGAGCUUUAUAGCUCACUCCUUUGUUUAAUCUCUAACUUUUAAGGUAAUCUUUGAGUUUGGGAUCGGACGGCGUGCGGGAGCUCGGAUUGUUUUCUCGAUUAAAUAAAUAAGAUGGUUUACGUCUAUUUCUUUUCUGGACUUUUUGGACUAUAAAGUUACUUUUGGACUGGGUUUUUGGUUAUCGUUCUUUUUGUUGGAUUUGAUAUCUUUAACAUUAGACUACAUAAUCGUAGGAGUUAUCAAACUAAAAUUUUGUUUUCAAAACUAAGAAAUCUGAAAUUUCUGCUACAACGAUAAAGUAAUCACGUAUUUUUCUGUAAACAAAUAUCUGGUUUUUAACAAAUGUUUGCCUUAGUAUUGGAAAUGAUCUGCUAACGUUAGUACUUUCAAAACACGUAAUUUUGAAUUCAAAUUCUGGGUUUUAAAUAGGUGUUUUCAGACUUUGAUUUUGCUAAACAUCUAUGAGAGUUUUGCCAGUUUUUAUGUUUUCGAAAAAAUGAACUGAGUUUAAUUAAAACAAAAGUUUUUGAACAAGUUAACGUAAAUAUUGCUCAAUAUCUGGUCAUAACUUUUAUGCCGGGUUUGAGUUGUUACACAAUUACUCAUUCUUGCUAUAACCUUAUAACAUUAUUCUUUGACAUACGGGUGAAAUAAUUAUCUCAACUUGGUAAACAAAUUUGGUUUUCAUUUUACUUUUUGGUUUUAUUGGAAGCUGUUUCAAGCUGUUGUUCAAUCAAUGGUUGUAAUCCUUCUUUGAACGAGAGAAAAUUUGAAGCAGAUUGAAGUGUAGACUUGACUUAUUUUAAUUUAAGCAGGCAGUAUGAUAAUUUCUAGGUGUUUGGGGUUUUUCAUUUCUCUUGGGGCAUGGCUUUGAGGAUGAAAGAUGAUUUUUUAAAGAGAGGUUAUGCUUUACGAUUUGUUAUUAUUUUACCUUACAUGUGUUUCAUAUACUUUCUUAUUAUUUUUUAUGAUUUCUUAUUAUUUUUUAGUUGUCAUUUAUUUCGUUUAGCUGAGAUUUAAUUUAAGGUGUUUUUGAUAUAAGUAAGUUGUUCUAUUAAUUGUAAUAUCGUUACUUCAAUAAGGGUUUUGUAUGUAUGUAAACAAUCAAUUAAAACUAAAAAAUUUUCUAACGAAGUAGUCAUAUCCUAUUAAUUGUUUAACUUAGAUGUAUUACUUUAUUUUGAAAAAUUAACUGAAAACAUUUGAUCACCUAUAUACAUGUAAGUAUAUAUGUAUGUACACCUUGUAAAAACAUGAUUAUAUAUAAACGAUAACAUAACAGUAACAUCUAGAAUAUAUAAUUUAUCAACGGUUGUUAGCCUUCCAUAUAAACAUUUGAAUAGCCUUAUGUUACCAUAUAUAUAUAUAUAUAUAAUGAUGCUAAAUUUAUAAUAAUAAUAAAAUAUUCUCACCAAAACAACUCAUAAACACCAUUAGUUAGUAUUAACAAUAAUAAAGUUUAACUAAUGGAAAAAAGUUAUAAUAAUCAUGUCACUUUGUGUGCCAUGUGGUGAACCCAUGUGGUCAUGUCCGACAUACUAACCCAAAGAAAACAACAAAUUUCUUGAUAAAAAGUUUUAUCGAAUUCGACAACAAAAAUUAUAAAUAAAGACUCUCCCUUAAUUAAUUAAGUUUUUAAUAUAAAAUGAAUACUUUUAUAUGGUUCUACAUCUGUGUUUCAUCUUGUUCCAAUCAUUCUCAUUUUACUCCUCUUGCAAUAACCAAACACUUCUUUGCUUGAUUUCUGUUUGAACCUGCAAUGGCCGAAGCAAUUGCAUUCGACCUCGCCCUAGAGCUUAUUACUAAGUUGAGCUCCUUUACUCUCUCUCAAAUUGGACUGUGUUGGAAUGUCAAGGAUGACCUCGACGACCUCAAAAGCACCGUCUCUACAAUCAAAGCUGUGCUUCUUGACGCAGAAGAGCGAUCCGCGACCAGCCAACUCGUCAAAGAUUGGCUUGAAAAGCUGAAAGAUGUACUUUACGAUGCUGACGACUUGCUCGAUGAUUUCUUUACCGAAGCUUUGCGGAAAGAUCUAUUGGGUGGGAACAAGCUGACGAAAGAGGUACGCUUUUUCUUCUCGAGCUCAAACCAGUUUGCUUACGGUCUCAAAAUGGGUCGGAAAAUUAAGACCAUUAAGGCCAGGUUGAUUUCAAUUGGAAGUGAAGCCAAGGUGUUCAACUUGGUAGAGCGUGACCGUCCCAUGGAAACCUCUUUUAUGACGAAAAAGAGGCAGCUAACGCACUCUUUUAAAGAUAAAAUAAUAGGGAGGGACGAUGAUAAAACAGCUCUUCUAAAACUCGUGUUAGAGUUUGAAAGUGAAGAGAAUGUUUACAUCAUUCCAAUUGUGGGGUUUGGAGGAUUAGGGAAGACUGCUUUGGCUCAGUUUGUCUAUAAUGAUGAAAUGGUCAAAAAUCAUUUUGAGUUGAUGAUGUGGGUGUGUGUUUCAGAUGUUUUUGAUGUCAAAAUAAUUGUAGAAAACAUUAUCAAAUCUGCAACAGGCAAAGCACCCGAUCAAAAUCUCGAAAUGGACCAAUUGCAAAAACAACUUCGGGAAAAAAUUGGUGGGAAAAAAUAUUUGCUUGUUUUGGAUGACAUUUGGAAUGAUGAGUGGGAAAAAUGGGUUAGUUUAAAAGAGUUAUUGGUAGGUGGGGCUAAAGGAAGUAGGAUAAUAGUAACUACUCGUUCGUCUAAGGUAGCCAAGAUCACUAGUAAAUGUCAACCUUAUGUUCUGAACGGCUUGUCUGAUAAUGAUGCUUGGUCUUUGUUCAAAGAGAUAGCAUUUGAACAAAGAUCUGCAGACUCAACAGAUUCAGGCUUUGUGGAAAUAGGAAAGCUGAUUUUGGAAAGGUGUUGUGGAGUUCCCUUAGUCAUAAGGACGAUAGCUGGUACGUUAUCUUUCAAAGAAACUAAAAGUGAGUGGCUUUCUUUUAAAGAUAACGAACUUGCUGGAAUAUCUCAGAACGACGGUGAGAUAUUACCUACACUUAAGUUGAGUUAUGAUCAUCUCCCGUCUCAUUUGAAGCAUUGCUUUGCUUAUUGCCGAUUGUAUCCAAAAGAUUACAGAAUUAGAGUACAAGCGCUUGUUCAAUUUUGGAUUGCACAGGGUUUCAUAAAGCAAUUGAAUCAAAGUCAAUCUCUCGAGGAGAUCGGGUUUGGGUAUUUUAAAGAUUUAGUUGAAAGAAGUUUCUUUCAAGAGGUAGAAGGAGACUUGAUGGAAGAAAUGAGAUGUAAAAUGCAUGAUUUAAUGCAUGAUCUAGCUGAAUCAGUAGCAGGGAUGGAGAGUAGUAUUAUAGAUUCAAAUAACAUUGCAAGUGAUGUUGGUGAAAAGUGUCGCCACAUAUCAAUUAAUCCUUUAUUAAUUCCUUCAUUAAUUCCUUUGUUUAAGGGAAAAAAGUUGCGAACCUUGUUACGGCAUCCAAACAAUUUUUCUCGAAAUUUGAGCGAAGAAACUUGGGAUUUUGUAAUUGCAAAUUGUAGAUGCUUGCGUGUAUUGGAUUUGCAUUUGUUAGGUAUUCAGAUGAUUCCACCCUCCAUUUACAAGUUGAAACAUUUGAGGUACCUUGAUCUUUCUUAUAAUCGCGGUCUUAAGAUUCUCCCAAAGAGUAUUUGCAAGAUUCAGAAUUUGCUAGCGCUGAAACUUAACCUUUGUACUGGGCUUAAAGAAUUACCAAAGAAGAUUGAAAAAUUGGUGAAUCUUACCCAUCUUGGGUGUGAAGGUUGUUUUAGUUUAACUCAUAUGCCACGUGGAAUAGGGAAGCUGACUUCACUUUAGACGUUAAGCAUGUUUGUAGUGGAUAAAGAUGGGUCCCAUGGCGGUGCAGAUCUAAGUGAAUUGAGACUGCUUAACAACUUAAGGGGACGCCUAACAAUACGAAAUUUGGGAUCCGUAAAAAAUGCAAAAGAGAAGUUUAAGGCUGCUAAUUUGAAAGAGAAGCAACAUUUGAGCUCGUUGCAUUUGGAAUGGAAUGUCGAUAAUGAUGAUGAAGAUGAUAAUGUGAAGUCACUUGAAGACCUCCAGCCCCAUCCUAAUCUCAAGGAGCUCUAUAUUGCAGGAUGGAGGGGUGAUGCCAAGUUUCCAAGUUGGCUUUCUUUGCUCACAAAUCUCGUUGAUAUGAGAAUAUAUGGGGGUAAAUUCAAACAUCUCCCAUCCUUUGCUCAAUUUCCCUGUCUUCAAGAUUUGGUAAUUUGUGAUUUAACUGAGCUGGAGUACAUGGAUGAUAAUAGCCCAAAAGGAAGUCAAGGAGAACCACAAUCAUUCUUCCCAUCACUUAAGCAUCUUUCGCUCUUGGACUGUCCGAAUAUGAAGAAUUGGUGGAGGACGACAAAACCAAUCGAUGAUGAUUCCAACGAGGAAGACACAACAGUUAUUGGAACAUCAACCAUGGCAUUUCCUUGUCUUUCAUCUUUAAAAAUUAAAAAUUGCCCUUUGACUUUAAUGCCACUGUAUCCAUCAGUCGAUGAAGAUCUAAUGUUGUCGAAUACCAGUUCAAGGGCGUUAAAGCAGACCAUGAAGAUGAACAUCACUAGUACGACCCCAUCAACUUCAACCUCUUCUCUUCCACUCUCCAAAUUGAAAUCUUUCGAUGUACGCAACAUUGAGUGGUUGGACACUCACACGCUAGAUGAGUGCCUGCAACAUCUCGCCAGCCUCAAAAGAUUAACAAUAAGAGAUUGCAAGGAGGUUGAUUUAGAGGGCAUGCAAUGGGAACCCCUUAAGAAUCUCUCUCAUUUGGAGAUUGAUAAUAUUCCAAAACUGGUGUCUCUCCCCAUUUGGCUUCAACAUCUUGUUCAAUUGAAAACAUUAAAAAUUCAUAACUGCAAUGGAUUGAGGUCACUGCUUCCUGUGUUCCAACAUCUCACUUUCCUUGAAGAGUUUGAAGUAAAGGAUUGCAAGGAGCUGGAGUUAUCUGCAGCUGGCAUCCAAAUAUUCCAAGAUCAUACAAGCCUACGCUCUCUAAGGCUGCAAAAUAUUCCAAAGUGUCGGCAUCUUCCGGAGGGGCUUCAACAUCUAACAAAUCUGCAAGGGCUUUAUCUCGUUAAUUUGCCCAAUUUAACAUCUCUUCCGGACGAGAUGCGUUGCCUAACCAGUUUGAAGUCUUUACAAAUACAAGAAAUUCCUCAGUUGGAGGAAACAUGUCGGAAGGACAUUGGCGCUGAUUGGCAAAAGAUUGCUCACAUCCCCAACAUUCGGUUGAUUCAGGUUGGUCCCUCUUUGUUAUUUAUUUAUUUUGAUGACCUUAUCUUUUUUUGAAGAAAAAUAAGUGGUAUAUUGAAUCUCCAAGUCAGGGGUCUGAUGCCAUUUUUCAUUGAAGUUGGAUACUGUUAAUUUCCUUGUUAAAAUCUCUUUGUUUUAAUCCUACUUUUUACUUAUCAUCUUUCAUAAUAUUUUUGGUGAUUUGUGCAGUAAGGCAUUGGAGAAAGGCAUUAGUCAACUUCAAUCAUUUUGUAUGCAUAAAAAGAGGUGCUAAUUUAUCUAUUUGCUUUUUACUUUUAAAUCAUAAUAAUAACUUGACAAUUGCUUCUAAUAAUUUAAUUCUAAAAAAAUCAUUGAUGUGGAGGGAGAGGCCUAUGAAGCCUUCAAAAUCGUUAUAUUAUAUGCUCUGCUUUCUUCAUUUAAGCACUUACCUAUCAUAUCUUUAUAUAUAUUUAUGUUUUCUCUUAAUAUAUGCCAACUGGUUACUAUCUUAGUACCUGUGAUAUUGACAGACUUUAGAUGGAGCUUAUUCAGAGCUUGAUUCAUAGUAAGGAAAACCAUUUGAGCGUUGAAUGUAAAUUUUCACUGGCAUAGCUAAAAGGAGUUGGGAGAGAAUUUACUUCAUUGUACAAAAGUGAGAUUGCAUCAAGUGUUUGAGGGGUUAAGCUUAAAUCAUUUCUUUGUACUAUGAAGUUCAUAGUGGAUUCAUCUUUCGGCAAAGCCCCGCAGUUCAUAGUGGAUUCAUCUUUCGGCAAAGCCCCGCGGACGUAGGACGAGUUCCGAACAACAUAAACAUUUUAAUUGUGUUCUUUAUUUUCCUUGUUGCAUAAUAUGUACCAACUCAAUAAAAAACACAUUUUUAAUGUUCCAAACAGUAUUCAAAUGCAGGGAUGCACAAUUGAUUAUGAGACAAUAAUUGUUUUCGACGGCAUUCCAAGGCUAUGUUCAAUUAUAAUGCUUGGAUUAGGACCCCUCCAAAAGAUGUCGAUUUCCUGGCUGUAUAUACAUAUAACUUGUGUGUUGAUGCUUAUGUUGGCACGCAUUAAAUUACAAGUUGAAUAACACCUUGUAAUUUGUUCGUCAUUUAAACAAAACUUAAGGCUUUUCCUUUGGAAUCUUGAUGCGACGAGGUACUGCAAUCCUCGAAAGGAAGGAAGGACAUGGGCAAUGGCAGGGGCGUUUCUUGGUGAGCUAAGGAAAUCAAAGUCUCCUAGGAGGAUACUAGCCCAUCAAUUCCCUCUAUAUAGCAACAAUGAACCUGCAAACUAUAAAUAUCAAUAUACAGUAUGAUAAAAUUGAUCUCGUAUAGACCGAGCAGUGUCCAAAUGUUGAAGAAACACUUACUCUUACUAAAAACAUAACUCCAUAUUUUGUGCACAAAUGGUGGCCAAACACAAAUCCGGUGUCUAUGCUUUUUGAUUCCAAGUUUAAGAAAGGGCCAAACAUUGGGCAUCCUCAUCCUCAUCUGUAAUAGUAACCAAUUCACAUUCCUAUCCUCAAAACUCAAUUCCAACUUGAUCAAAUUUACUUUCAAAACAUAACUUGAUUCAAGAUAAAAAUAAACUUGGACUUCUUUACCUAGCAAAAGAUGAACAUGAUUCUCAAAAAUCCAAAGGUUUUCGAAACCUGACCAAUAGUAAAACUGAUCAAGCCACCAAUUCAUUGGUUCAACCAGUGCAAUUAAAUAAAUCAUUAAAAAAUUCAUAAAAAAUAAAAACUUGAUUCAACUGCUAGGUUCAACCAGUUUUUCGCCCAAUACAAUCAUCCAUACCGGUUCCUGGGUCAAUCGAUUCAAUGCCCUUCUCCGAACUAGGAUCCUGGUCCGGUUCAAAUAACCUUGACUAAACCUAAAAAACUAUUUGUCUUAAGUUCGGAUUUCAAUUGGUAUUCUCAAUAUUAGUUCAAAAAAGAAAAACCCUUAAUGUAGGCUUACAAACCACUCUAAGUCAGACAUUAAGGUAUUUAAAUUUGGCUCACUCAAUAGCCCAAGCUUGGCUAACCAAUAAUUAAACCGAAUUCCGCUAACAUUAGCAAAACCAAAACACGAAAAUCUCAACUGUAAAUAAGUUAGAGAUAAAUUUCAACCAAAAAGUGAAAAAACAUGAAGGAAGCAAUAGAAGUAGAAAAAUAACUGGAUUCAUAUAAUCAUAUGAUUAUAUAUAGAUGCCAUUGGUCACAAACUCAAAUAUACAAUGGACCGAUUUCGUACAAACAACAAGAUUGAUCCAAUGAUUAUCAUCACGAUGCACCAAUUCUACACAUCCACAUUUAGUAAGGCUGCUUUUUCAAUUUUGAUAUGUAAAACACUAAUGACAAAUUAAGCAACUCAGAUAAAGAAAAGGAUGUUGUUAAUGUGCAUAUAUAACCAGAUUAGAUAGACCAGAAUUCUGAUGCCGACGCUUUUUAUUUCUAUAACUAAAACCAUGGGAUAGGAAAAAUAGCUCAACCUUGAAGAAAAUUGGAAUAACCCCUAGCUGGCAUUUGUUCUGCAGAAUUUGGUCAGGAAAAAUAAUCUUGCCAAUCGAGUUGAUUUAAAAUCAGAAGAUGGCACUUCGGUCAUUCUAGAAGGUAGAGUUUCUGGGCUUGGUGUACGACCUCAGCCAUUCCAAAGUCUGAAUGAAGCACAUCGACUCCGCUCCCUUCAACACCUGUCAUUCUAGGAGUUAAGGAUUACACAUUCACCUGUUGUACCUCUGAAUGUAUAAAUAAGUUCGUGUGCUUUUUUCCCGUCUUUGGGGGGUUAAGCAGAUAGAGUAGCUAAAAUUUAUAGAAGGAUACAAUCUGUCUUCCACAUAUCCAUAAUGCUAACAUCGGCAUCUGAUAGAAGCCAAUAAUCCGCAUCAUUCUGAAAACAAGGGCAAAAAAAGUUAAUAGACAAAAUUAUCAAUUUUCGUGCAAGAUGAAGUCCUAGGGGGAGAAAGUGUUUGAAUCUUGGACCUUACCCCCCUAAAGAGGGGUAACCAAGGCUUCUAAUGAAUUAUUCCAGAUUACCUAAAUUCAUAAAUAAUCUUUGACACGAACCACUGUCCAUAUAUUUGAUGUUUGUAAAGCUUGGCUAGUGUAAUAACUGGUCAAGAAAAAUGGCACUUACGUCCAUAUCCGACAGAACAAUUCUCAUCAUUCCCCCAACAGACUAUUGUGAAGCAUUUAUAUCAGAGCAGAUCUGAUGAGUUUGCUGUGCCUGUGGUUCAAUCUCCUUUCGGAUGCUCACUGUAUUGACCAACUCAACUUGGUUUUCAUUAGAGCCAGAACUUAAAGCAAGUGGGACACUCAGAGGUUGUUCAACACCAUUCAUCUCUUCAAAUUUCUCCUCAAAUUGGCUGAGGAAGCAAAAAUGGAAAAGAAAGACAUUAAAACAACCUAUCUUCUUAUCAUCAAUUAAACUUAUUCCAAAGAACACCUGACAAGGUAAACAAAAAUCGGACCCAUUGUGCUUCUAAGGAAUAUCCCGUAUAUCCUUUGUCGGUAAUCAACAUCCUGUAAUAUAUAGGAGCAAUGCAACAAUGCGUUUAAAUCAUGAAAGUGGAAAAUGGUAGUAACUCGUUAAAAUUCUCUAUGCCAUCUUACUUCAUCAGGAUCAGGUACUUCGAGAGUUGUUCCAUGUGGAGCUUUAAUUGCUAUCAGGGUUUCAUUCUGCCAAAACCAAGGUGUCUUGAAGAUUAGUAUCAAAUGCAGAAUAUCAUUGCAGAAGUGUUAAUUUAGAGGCAUGAAAUAAACGAACCUGAAAACAAGGUAUACCCUUGAUGUCCUCUUCAGUCACAAAAAGCAACCUGAAACAGUGUGAAGAUAUGUAAACGUAUAAUUUUUUUGCAAACAAUUAGCUGUUAAACUUCCAUUAAUUGGAUCACAGUGCAAGGCAGACAAGAAAAUCGUACUUCUGAUUGCUGUCAUUCUCACUCAAAUCCCUCAACCUUUCCUGCAUUUCUGUGCAAUAUUUUAGAAGCAUCAGCAUUCCUAAACAGGUUCAAGAUAGUAAUAGUUGCUACUUCAACAAGAGAAUAAACCAUGCACAACCUUAUUUGAUCAUCUAAUCUCCUCUCUUCCAUGGAAAGGUUCUCAAUUUCCUCCUGCAUUAAAGAAUAGAAAUUAAGCUCACAGGUAUGAGAAAUAAGCAGCACAAAUCAAUCAAUCGGUAGUGAUUGAAAAUUCUCUUGAAAGUCAUUACCAAAAAUAAAGAAACAGAAAACAUCCUAAUGAACGAUAUCAAGAAAAUUUGUUGGCUGGAUGUCAAUGAAAUGAAAAUUGACAUUACUUUCACGUACCUGUAUUACAGAGACAUGGCCAUCUGUUUCUCCUGGCUUUGAAGCACCAACACCCCUAGUAAAUUUGAUUAAUCCUCAAAUAAGUCUCACAUUUUUCAAAGGUUAACCAGAAUGACAAACCAAAUUAAGACAUCAAAUUCUUGAAAAAUGAUUAACAUCAUCAGUAAUUACUUCCAAUGUAUUCUGUUUUUGAACUUCUUUUCUAUAAGACCAAUGCCCUCCAAGACAUUUGUUAUAUCAUAUAUCCUCCUCUUCUGCACCUGUUACAACAUUUCCAGGGAAAGUUAAAAGACAAAAGAACCCUUUAAGUAACAUGAAAAAAAUACUCAACAAACACCCAAUGGUACAUAAGCUCACUAGUAUGUCAUUACCUCCAAUGUUUCUGCAGCCUUAUUUAUGUCAAGGAUACCAUCUUCAGCAUGCUUCAUCAGAUUGACAAACUUUUUCGCCAACAGACCUAAAAAUGGUGACUGCAUUAUUGUCGUUCUCACCAUCCAUAGCAGGUUAAGGAGCUAAAACAGAUUAUGUUAAAAGAAAAAAGAAUGGGCAGAAAAGAUUACCUAAAGGACUAUCUAAACAGCAGCUGCCAGCAGGUCUAAGAGGAGAUGGACAACCUGCCAAUUAUCGUAUAUAAUGUUAGUGAUUCCUCUUCUACAAAAUCCAUCUCUCUUAAUUCAAGCAAUGAGGUAUUGAUGAUAGAGCCGUGAAGUGAAUCAUAAGUUUCCUUCUAUGGACUAAGCCAGUAGGAAAUAGUAUCGCACCAGCAUUUGACACAGAUGUGUGAGGCAUUGAUUUGCUGGCUUUUGAUGUCUUUGAUCUAUUAUUUAUCCUUCCUCCUUUAGCAUAUACAGGUAACCCCCGGACUGCUUGUCCAUUGGCUAGACUCAACAUCAUUUUUGUCUGCUGCGCUCUUCCUUUUUAAUUGCUGAGAAAAAUCAGCAAUAUUUCAAAGUACUGCCAAUGGCAGGCAAAAUUACAAGGUCCCUUAGUAUUUGUGCACGGUUAUAUCUACGUUAACAACCAAUUGAAUUGAAGAAAAAUAAAAUAAAAAAGAGCAUAAGUUUAACAAAUACAUAUGUACGAGAGCUUGUACAAAAAAACUUACUGUUAGCCAUAAGAACCAUCAGAAAUGCUUCGCUACUUGAUUCAAAAGUUAAUUCACAAAGGCCAAAACUCAAAGAGAUAAAUGCCAUGACAAAAUCAAGUAAAGUAACUAGUAAUUCACUUGUUAUCGAGUUGAAGACAAUAAAGAAAAAGAAUAUAAUAUACGAAUAUAAUUUUGUCCGAUAAACUAGCAGAGCAGUCGUAUUAUACAUAAGGGGGAAACUAUAGUGGUAGGCAUUAUGGAUAUCAACUGAAUCAUUUUUUCAAACAUCCAUCAAAGACAAAACAUCAAAAGAACUAACACCCAUCAAGCUUUCUUCAUAUAGAGCACGGCAUUAAAUGUUUAGCUUUAAACCGAGAAUGGAGUAGCAUAACAUAACCUUCCUCUCUUACUAUAGCAUUUAUAUUACAUAAAACAAACAUACUAUCAAUAGCAAUUAUAUUUGAUAGUUCUAAAACUUAGCUUUCUCAAAUUAAGGCAUCAAAAUGUUCAAAUCAUCAAGUUUUGGACAUUGGAUGAGGCCAGCAUUCAUUCAGUUUCAACUUAGUACAGCAAACGAGCACUUUAAUCUACCAAAACUCCACUAUAUCAUCAAAUACAUCAUCACAAACGGAAAUACCUCACAUAUUAAAAUACAGACAUCACAAUUUCCUGCAGAAACAAAUAAUGCUACUCAUAAUUUAUCCCCUAAGAAACUUAGCCACCAUGAAAAGCUCUAUUUGUGAACAGAUCAAAAGAUCACACGCAAAAAAAAAAAGAAAAAGAAAAGCAAAUGACAUUAAGCGUUAAGUGAGAGUACAAUUCUCAUCAAAAUUGAAAUAAUAUAAGACUAAUUACAUGAUAGCUACCGUUUUCAACAGAGAAUUUUUGAACUCACUGGAGAUCUCACAACAAUUGCUUCAACUUCUUGAUCGGCGACUAUUCCACGACCAUUAAUAGAUGAAAAUCUGUGAUAAUCAUCGGGAUGAACAAACGGCGGCUUCGUCGAAUCGAAGGCCAGGUGACGACGUAUCGGCGGAACAACCGGAGGAACCGUCGAAGCUGGUACUGUUGAAGCGUAGGAGGAGGUUGAUACGGCAGCGUGAGACCAUCCCGGAAAAGAGAGAGAAAGUGAGAGUUUUAGUUCAGACAUUAGAGAGAGUAGAAAAGGAGGGAAAAGAGAGGGAAUCUUUUGCAUAUAAUUAUAAGUUAAUGUGCCAAUUUCAUUUGUUUUUACCUUCUUGAACUCUUACUUUUUUCAAUUUUUCAAUUUCAUCCUAAAAUAAAAUUCAAAUAUGUAUAUAAGGGUUAAAGUACCGGUAUUAUAGGGACUGCAUACAAAUUAGUUACUCUAUCAUUAAAUGGUUAAUUUAUUACCUGUACUAUUAAAAUUGAUCAAAUAAAGUUAAAUUAUAAUAAAGUUAACAUUUAUUUUAUAAAAAAACAUAUUGAAAUUUGUUAAUUCUACUAAUGUUAAAUCUCUUACAAUUUAAUCUUAUUUGGUUCUUUUUAGUAGUAUUGGGAUAAAUUAGUCCAUUUAAUAAUAGAGGGACUAAUUUUAAACUUUCCAAAUAUUUUAAUCCUUAUAUAAGCUAAAAUAUUAUUUUUAAAAAAUUAAUCAAUACACUUGUCUAUAAUUUGGUUAGGGUACAAUUCUUUUUUUUUUUUUUUUUUCUUCACGCUGACCCUAUCUCAUUGUUCUUUUAAUAUUAAAAAUUAAAAAUUUAGUAAUAUUUAUAUAUUUUUUAUAAUCGUGUUAAAUAAGUAAUUUAGUGAGUUUGAAUAUUGUAGCGGUGAUAUUAAAAUUAAUUGUGGAAUAUGUAUUUAAAUUUAAAUACAGAUGUAGCAAUGAGAUAAAAAUAGAAAAUUACUAUUAAGAACAUUAAGGUAAAACGUAUGUAUAUGUAAAAUAAAUAAUUAAGAAUAUAUUUAAAAAUAAAAUAUUUUAAAUAAUAAUUAAAAAGAUCAAAACUAUGCUUAUAUUAAAAAAUAAUUAAAAUUAUAUUUUAUAUUAAAUUAUAAAAUAUACAUAAGAAUUGUAUGUUUGAAUUUUUUUAUUAAAUUAAUAGUUAAAAUCAGUAAAAAAUUUAUUUCAUUAUUAUUUACUUUCAAAAUUUUAUGUUUGAAUUUUUUUAUUGUUGCACUAUUUUAAUUAUGUACCACAAUUAGAAUAAUAUUAUUUUUGAACUAAUUACAUAAAAUAAAAAUAUAAUAUUCAGUGAAUAAAAAAUAAAUAUAUAAAAUCACAUAUAAUAAUAUUCAAUGAAUAAUAUCAAACCCCUAGUACUUGAAAGUAGCUAUAGAGACCAAUCAUGGCAGAAGCCAAAAUUCCAAGCGUCUAAUUGUUAUUUUUCUCUUUAUUUUCCUUAUCAAAAUACAAGUAAUUUUCAAUAAUGUAACAACGUGAAAGCUGAAAGCUUAAUUCCAAGCAUUCAAAUAAACUAUAACUAUAAAAGAAUAAAUGUAGCCAAAUUUGGAAUUAAAUUUUUCAAAAAUUUUUAACAGCUUAAUGAGAAUUUUAAUAAAAGGGUCUAAUUAAAAUUUAGAAAAUUAUUAAAGGGUUUAAAUAAAAUUUAAAAAAAUUGAGGAGUCUAAUUUUUUUUUUUAAAUUGAGGGCUUAAUGAAAAUUUUCCAAAUUUGGGAGUAGGGGCAAGGGGAGCUUUGAUUCUUGUAACCUUCCGUCCCAAGUAAUUUCUUUUAAGAGAAAUUUAUUAUUUCAUUCAAUGAAUAAAUGAACAAUUCAAGAAAAAAAAUAACAAACACUCGUACGCACUAAAGAACAAGCUCCAUCAACAUAAUAAAAGUUUUAGCUUUAACUCAAUAGAAUAUCAUGACACGUUAACAAUCGGCUCUGUCACAACUCAAGCACAACAUAUUAGAAGCGAUUACAAGCACUUAAUACAAUAAGAAAAUCAACCCCAGAUGGCCCAAAGCGGCGAGCAUAAAUCGGCAAAAGAACCAAGCAUCCACCAAACUAGAUAAGACAACGACUAAACCAACCCUAAAAUUAUUUUCAAAAGCAAAACUAAAUGCAUAUAAUCAAGACUAAAAAGUAUACUAUAAGAGCAGAAAAAACUUCUAAAAGUGAAUACUUAUUAAACAAUAAAAAAAAUAUAAAAUAUAAAACUUAAGAUAAUACGAGUCAUGAAAUCAUUUAUUAUUUUGAAACUCUCAAAACAGAAACAUAUUAAGAAGUCAACUCUAAAAUUGUAUUGCUAAGUGGACCUUAAUCGAAGAUGCAAGAAUAAAAGAAAUAAGGAUUAAAUUCUACCAUAGAAAUUCUGAAAAAAAAAACCUUAAUGUAUCGAAAAAUAAUUUCUAUUAAUCACACAAUUUUCUAGAAAUUGCAAACAUUUAGAUUUUGUUCACAUAUUAAUUGCCUUUUUUUUUUUCUAUUUCCCCCUAUUUACUAUUACAAAAUUAAAAUCCCCCAAGUCCUAUUUAUAUAUUUUAAAAUUUAGAAUUUAGUUUGUAUAUUUUUAUUUUUAAGAAUUUAGUCCCCAUAUUUUUAAAAUUUUAAAAUUCAAGUCAAAUUGUUAACACUGUCAAAAUUAUUUUAUUAAAGUCAGGUUCAUUAAAAUCUCAUAUUCUUAGUUAGAAGGCUACCAAGUAAGUAAUUUUUUUUAUUUCAAACUCUCACACUAACAAAUUUAACAAAAAAAAACAUUAUUAACAUUUGGACCUGAAAUUUGAACUUUGAAAAGUAAAAGAAUUAAAUUCCUAUAAAUAUAAGUAUAGAGACUAAGUUUCAAAUUUAUGGUGACUACAAGGACAUAUGGCAUAUUUUAACCUAAAAAAGGGUGACCUACUUUAGUAGUCACCCAACUAAGUUUUUUUUUCUUUUUUGGUCACUCAAUUAUGAAAACUUACAAAAUAGUCGCCCAACGAUUCAAUUUUAUCAUUUUUAUCAUCAGUUGGCUAAUGAAAAAAUAGAAAACACCAAAAAUCCAAGAUAAUUGGGUGAAAAAAAAGGAAAAAAAUAAUAGUUUAUUAAUUAUUUUGUGAAUUUUCAUAAUUAGGUAAAAAAUACUAAUAAUUUAGUGAUCAUUUUGUAAAUUUUUAAAUAGUUGAAAGACUUUUAAUAUAGUUUACCCAAAAAAAAUAUUAACGGCGUCAAAUAGAAAACGAGAUAACAAAGAUAAACAAAACGAUGUACUUAACGACGUUACUUCCUUCUUCUCCAACCAAAACGCCGUCGCUUUGUUCCCCAAACGUAAUAUAAGCCGGACACCUUACAUUUAAUAAUAAAUGUGUUAUAAUUAUUUAUAUUUAUAUAAAUGUCUCCAAUCAUAUUUGAGCGAACAUUUAAUGCUCAAAUUAACGGCUAAGUUAAUAGAAAAAUAGGAUAAAUCUCAAAAUUAUAUAUAAAUUUUGGCAUAAUAUGUAAUUUUAUACACGAAAUUUCAAUUUAAUUCAAUUUUCACAAAUUAUUAACACAAUUAUUAAUAUAACAUCAUUUUAUGUUUAUAUAUUGCAUAAACAAAUAAUUAUAUUUAUCCACUACAAAAAUAAAUUGAUGUAUCUAUUUCUUUAAAUAUGUAUGGUUGAAUCAAAAUAAAAGUUUAUGUAUAAUUUUAAGAUUUUUCUCUAGAAAAAUCAAAUUGGUAUAAUUAUGAUAUCUUAAGAAUUCAAUUAGAAUGUUAUUUGGGUUAUAAUUUGCGAAUGUAUAGUGCAAGCAAUCAUUUUAUAUGUUUUAAUUUUAUUUAUCAUCUUAUCUUAAAUGAAAAUUAUUUCAUUCAUUACUGAUAAAGUUUAAAAAUUAAACAAAUAGAGUUAAAUGGGUAACACAUACCUCUUUAAAGUGAAGUAAAAUAAUUUUUAAUGAAACUUGUGAUAUUAAAAUUUUUCAUUGAAAUGCUAAACUUAUUUAAAUAAAUAUUUUUUAGAGUUAAUGCACUAUUUGGACAUGAACUUGAUAAUUGUUUUCAUAUUAGAGUUUGAACUUUUUUGUUUCAAGUUAAUCCUUCAAUUUGACAAUUGUUUUCACAUUGAGGUCUUUUUUUUUUUUGGUUCAAGAUAGUCAGAUUUCUUUUAAAAAAAUAUUCAAGACUCCAAUAUGGAAAUAAUUACCAAGUUUAGAAGUUAACUUGAACAAAAGAAAAGUCUAAGCUAUGGGAACCGUUUCCUAUUCUAAGCCCUAAUAUGACAACAAUUACUAAGUUCAAAAAUUAACUUGAACAAAAGAAAAAUUCAAACCUUCAAAGUGAGAAUCGUUGUUUAAUCUAAAUCUUAUUGUGGGAAUAAGUGCCAAGUUCAAAGAUUAACUUAGAUAAAAUAUUUAAACCCUAAUAUAAGAAUAACUACAAAAUUUAGACCCCAAAUAGUGUUUGAAUUUGUUAUUUUGUUUGCCUAAUCCAUUUUGCAAUGCGAGCUGGGGGUGGCUUUUAAUUUUGAGGUUUACCAAGUAGAAAAAAAUACAUUAUUUUUCUAUUGAAAAGUGUCGUUGACAUUAAGAGAGGGUUAGAUUCUUGCAAGUGAGUAUUUAAUAAUGAGGAAAAACACAAGAUGAAAGAGAAAAAUUGGAGAGACCCUUUUAUGAGAGAAAAUUAGAGUUUGGGUCCUUGGAUUCAUAAUAUCUUAACACCUUGGAUUUCAUGGCUUUGGCUCCUUCGUCUGUUUUCUUUGGUAGAUUUUUCAUUGGUUUCAUAUUGUGCGCUCAGCUUUUGAAGCUCUUUUCUCCCACAUAUUUCAAUUAUUUGUACGGAUCCACAUCGACAAAUUUUGCUCAAGUUGAUGUAAUUGUGGAGAGCACCCGAAGUGUCAUCAUCCCAACUUCAUUUAGAUGCAAAAAAAAGAGGUGGUAAUUACUUAAUUGCUUUACAUUUUUAAAUCAUAAUAAUCUCACAAUUUCAAAUGAUCUAAUAAGUAAUAACUCCCAUGAAAUCCUCCUCUGUAUGCACAUUUGUUCUUUCUUUUCUUUUUUUCUUUGUUGAAGAGUCCCUCUGAUGAUCUAAUCCUAAUUUUUGUUAGAUUUUGGCUCUCUUCUUCGGCAGAGCAUGGCAUAUAUUACAAGAAGCAGAGGUUAUAUAUGUUCAACUACGAUCUGUUCAUCUGCCAAAAUAUUCCAACAAAACAAAAAUGAUAAUACAUGUCAUCAGUUUCCUUAUAAUUUCCAAUUAACUUGAUACAAAAUUAUAUAUGGAGUAUUUCAAGAGUUGUAAUAUAUAUGCCAACAACUUAUAUGGUACCUAAGCUAUUGACAGAUUCUUUGGAGUUGUGUUGGAAAGAGCUUAAACACGCAAUGUCGUUUUCAAGUAAGUAAAUUGAAUAGGGGCUAAGGAUUAAGGGUUGAUGAAAAUGGAGGGGGAAGAAGGGGAUAGUUCACAAUAUUCAUUGAUGCAGGGCACCUAUUUUAGCUGUUUGAUUUUUUAAGGUUGAAUCAGGAAAGGAUCUUGCUUCAGAAUAUUCGGUGUUGAGGUUGAUGUUAAUAAAACCUGAUUGUUAUAGAUAAGUAGUUACAGCACAUCUUUGUAUCUGAAAAUUAUGGGUUUAUUUAGUUUAUAUUCCUUCUCUUGUUGUUAAGAGUUCUAUUGUGAGUAUUAUUAUGUUAGUGCCUAGUUUUUAGUUUUUCUAUUAUGUAAAAGCCUAUAUAAAUAGGUUCUUGGAUUAUGAAUUAUUUUACUCAUCAUUUUAUUUUUCCCUUUCCUUUUUUAUUUUCAUCUUCUUGUUAUCUCUCUCCAUAAGUUAACAGUGGUGUCAGAGCUAGUUAAAAGAAGAGUAUUUUCGGUGAGAGGAAAAAGUUUGUGGUCCUCUUAUAGCUUCUGAAAAUUUUGUACAACCAGCUAUUCCACAUUUUGAUGGUCACUAUGAUCAUUGGAUCAUGUUGAUGGAGAACUUCUUCCGGGUGUGUGUGAGGCCGUGUGGGCCAUACGGGCUAGCCAAUUCAGCUGUGUGGACCCAUUUUCUGAAAAAAUUCACCUAGGUCUGUUUGACUCUAAAAUUUGUAAUUAGACUUUUGAUAGGGCCAUGCUACUUAAUUAAGGCUUGGAAACAAUGUAUUUGUUAAUAUGCUUAUGUGUAUAAUGUGUUUAAGUUAUGUGGAAUAUAUUUGCGUGAUCUGAUAAUGAUAGUUCUCAUAGUAUGUCCUGAUUCGCUAUGUCUGUAUAUGUGUGUAUGAUGUGUGAUUAUGUUAAUUUGUAUUUCCAAAUCGGCCAUAUGACCAUGCAUGUGGCAUGUGGCAUUGUGGCUUUUCUGUUAAGGUGAUUUGUAAUUAUGAUAUAUCUAUAUACAAAGCAUGAAAUGACAUGCUUACUGAUUUUUGUUAACAGCAUGAAUGCAUGUUCAACAUGCUUAUCAUUUUGUUUUAGUUUAUGCAUGCCAUGUUACAUUGCAUGGGGUUGGGAUAUUAUGGUUAUAGAGAAAAUGUCAGCAGUUUAAUCAUCUGUAUUAUCUGGUGAUUUAUUCACAUUUCUGUCUACAUUUAUGGUGGCUCGCCCAUACACAUAUGUUGUUUUGACAACUUGGCUACAAUAUAGUGACUUGUCCACAUAUAUUUGAUCUGAUAGUUUUAACUGCAAUCUCUAGUGGCAUUGACUAGAAUUAUUAUGUUGUGUGAUUAGAUGGACGAGUUUUGUGGAACUCUAUUUGGUGUGGACCGAAGUUGGGCAGGAUGUUUUCUAUAUAUAUAUAUAUAUAUAUAAAACUAGCAUUACAUUUUUUGGAAAAAUAUGCAUUGGCGUAAGCACACAUUCUCAAUUUUGUUCAAAUUAUCGUUAUGAAAUUCUUUGUGAUUCUGUGAAUUGUUGGUUGUGUUAUUUGAGUUCUAGGUUUGAGUUUGUUACACCCUAAGCUUUAUAGCUCACCUCUUUAUUUAAUCUCUGACUUUUAAGGUAAUCUUUGAGUUUGGGAUCGGACGGUAUGCAUGAGCUCGGAUUGUUUUCUCGAUUAAAUAAAUAAGAUGGUUUAUGUCUAUAGCUUUUCUGGACUUUUUGGACUGUAAAAUUGUUUUUGGACUGGGUUUUUGGUUAUCGUUCUUUUUGUUGGAUUUGAUAUUUUUAACAUUAGGCAGCAUAAUUGUAGGAGCUAUCAAACUAAAAUUUUGUUUUCAAAACUAAGAAAUAUGAAAUUUUUGCUGCAACGAUUAAGUAAUCACGUAUUUUUCUGUAAACAUUUGUUGGUUUUAACAAAUUUUUGCCUUAGUAUUGGAAAUGAUCUGCCAACGUUAUUACUUUCAAAACACGCAAUUUUGAAUUUAAAUUCUAGGUUUUAAAUAGGUGUUUUCAGAUUUUGGCUUUUCUAAACAUCUAUUGGAGUUUUGCCAAUUUUUAUGUUUUCGAAACAUGCACUGAGUUUGAUUAAAACAAAAGUUUUUGAACAAGUUGAUGUAAAUAUUCGUUAAUAUUCGAUCAUAACUUUUAUGCCGGGUUUGGGAUGUUACACAAUUACUCAUUCUUGCUAUAACGUCAUAAUGUUAUCAUUAAAAAAUUCAGGUUGUGAUACUCUGUCAAUUAAGUUUUACUUUUAUAGGUGUUUACAGCCUAGAAGAUAAUUUUUUAGUGGACUUAUUCUUUGCCAUAUGGAUGAAAUAAUUAUCUCAACUUGGUAAACAAUUUUGGUUUUAUUGGAAGCUGUUUCAAGGCUUUGUUCAAUCAAUGGUUGUAAUCCUUCUUUAAACGAGAGAGAAUUUGAAGCAGACUGAAGUGUAGACUUGACUUAUUUUAAUUCAAGCAAGCACUAUGAUAAUUUUUAGGCGUUUGGGGUUUUUCAUUUCUUUUGGGGGCAUGGUUUUGAGGAUGAAAGAUGAUUUUUUAAAGAGAGGUUAUGCUUUACGAUUUGUUAUUAUUUUACCUUUGACAUGGGUUCAUAUACUUUGUUAUUAUUUUUAUGAUUUGUUAUUAUAUUUUAGUUGUCAUUUAUUUCAUUUAGGUGAUAUUUAAUUUAAAGUGUUUUGGGUAUGAGUAAUGUGUUCUAUUAAUUGUAAUAUCGUUAUCUCAUUAGGGGUUUUGUAUGUACGUGAAUAAUCAAUUAAAAUCAAAAUUUUUUUAACGAAACAGUCAUGUCCUUUAAUUGUUUAACUUAGAUGUAUUACUUUAUUUUGAAAAAUUAACUGAAAAUAUUAUUGUUAAUAAUAAAUAAAAUGCCACUACUGUUAAUAAUAUAUAUUAACAUAUUUUAUCACCUAUAUAUAUGUAUGUAUACCUUGUAGACACAUAAUUAUAUAUAAAUGAUAACACAACGAUAACAUAUAGAAUUUAUCAACGGUUAUUAAUUCUCCAUAUAAACGUUUGAAUACCCUUAUGUUACCAUACAUAUAUAUAUAUAUAUAUAUAAUGAUGCUAAAUUUAUAAUAAUAAUAAAAUAUCUCACCAAAACAACUCAUAAACAACAUUAGUAUUAACAAUAAUAAAGUUUAACUAAUAAAAAAAAGUUAUAAUUAUAUGUAGUGUUGAUGGUAAUAUAAAAAUGAAAAUGAUGAACCCCACUUACAAUAAACAAAUAUAUGUUAAUAAUAUAUAUUAACAAAUAUAAAGCAAUAUUAAUAAUAAGAGUAUAGUUAAUUGUUACCAAAGUGAAGUUAAAUUGCCAAUGCUCAAUGCAUGGGUUAUUGAGAAAUUUGUGCCAAAAUUUGUCAUUUUGUGUGCCAUGUGGUGAACCCAUGUGGCCAUGUCCGACCAAUUAACAUUACCUGUUUUUUUUUUCCAUGGGAUUUGUCUCCUUUUUCUCUUUUCUUUCAUAGCUUUUUCAUUAAUUUCAAUUAUUUGUACGGCUCCACAUUGUGCAGAGCACCCCAAGUGUCAUCAUCCCAACUUUGUCUCCAUCCAGAAAUUUGUGUCAAGCAGUAAACAUGGAGGGACCAUUUCCCACCAAUCAAUCAACAUGACUUUAACAUGGAGGGACCAUUUCCUAGUUCCCACCAAUCAACAUUGUUUCUAUAAAGACUAAUUAAGCAACUCAGAUAAAGAAAAGGAUGUUGUUAAUGUGCAUAUAUAACCAGAUUAGAUAGACCAGGAUUCUGAUGCCGACACUUUUUAUUUCUAUACCUAAAACCAUGGGAUAGGAAAAAUAGCUCAACCCUGAAGAAAGUUAGAAUAACCCCUAGCUGGCAUUUGUUCUGCAGAAUUUGGUCAGGAAAAAUAAUCUUACCUAUCGAGUUGAUUUAAAAUUGGAAGAUGGCACGUCGGUCAUUCUAGAAGGUAGAGUUCUGGCCUUGAGGUACGACAUUAGCCUUUCCAAAGUCUGAAUGAAGCAUAUCUACUCCGCUCCCUUCAACACCUGUCAUUCAAGGAGUUAAGGAUUACACAUUCACCUGUUGUAACUCUGAAUGUAUAAAUAAGUUUGUGUGCUUUUUUCCUGGCUUUUGGGGGGUUAAGCAGAUAGAUUAGCUAAAAUUUAUUGAAGGAUACAAUCUGUCUUCCACAUAAUCAUAAUGCUAACAUCGGCAUCUGAUAGAAGCCAAAAAUCCGCAUCAUUCUGAAAACAAGGGCAAAAAAAGUUAAUAGACAAAAUUAUCAAUUUUGGUGCAAGGUGAAGUCCUAGGGGGAGAAGGUGUUUGAAUCUUGGACCUUACCCUCCUAAAGAGGGUAACCAAGGCUUCUAAUGAAUUAUUCCAGAUUACCUAAAUUCAUAAAAAUCUUUGACAUGAACCACUUGUCGAAACCACUUUCUUGAAAUAAAAGAUUUAGUUGUCGACUUAUUAAAAAUGAAAAUUGGAGUUGCCACCGAUCUUUUAAUGAGGUGUGAUCGGAUCACCUUGAAAACGAUUUUAGGUCUGAGAAUUUUGAGAAAAUAGGUUCGGGAGUCGGUUACGCACGAGGAAGGGUUAGCACCCUCGUAACACCCAAAAUUGGUACCGAAUUGAUUGUUUAAUGUCUUAGUGUCGAGAAUUUGAAAAGAUUUUAAAAUACGAUCCUUUGAAAAGAAAAUUUGAAUGAAUUGGAUGAUGAGACUCUCUUAUUUUAAAGAAAUAAAUUGUCACACUCAAUAAGUUAGAGUGCAACAUUUUACAUCCUCAAAAUUAAGUUUAUCUUUUGACUUUUAAAACCUAUGCAUUAUGAGAAGGAUAUCCGAUUAUUUGGGUCAAAUGAAAAAAAUCAAAACUCAGUAAGUUAGGGUUCGAUUUCACAAAAUUCCUAAACAUUGAAUAUUGCCUUUAUUUUUAUUUAUUAUAUUUUUUAGAGAAAAUCCUCAUCUUGAGAAAACUACGUGUCAUAUCCAAUGCGUUAGGACAUAACGUAUCGAAUUCCCGAGAAUGAGCUUUUUAUUUAUAUUUUAAUUAAAAAGGAUACUCGGUUUCUUAGAUUCAACGAGGAAGAUCGGAAUCCAGUAAGUUAGGACACAAUCUUUUCGAGGAUCCCAAAUUCCGAGUGUCGCGUUAUUUUGAAAGACUUUUGUAUAAAACAAUUUUGAUAUUUAAAUGAUAUGAAACGUAACCUUUUAAGCAAAUAAAAUGCGAUAGAGUGAUAACGUACAACAUGAAAUGAUAAUUCGUGAGCCGAAAUGUACGAUAAUGAAUUCAAACGAUCAAUAAAUACAAACAAGCAAUAUAAUAUACACAAUAACAAUAAUCUCACAUCAUAUGUGAAUAUUAACACCAACAUUUGAAAGCUAAUGACCCAAAAGCCUACCACAAAAGAAAUGUAACAAAUUUAAAAUAGCUAAAAGACAAGUAGCAUGAAAAAAGAAAUUUGAAAUUAUUAAUGUAUAUACACAAAUUUACAUAUAUAUAAAUUUAAAAAAAGAAUUAAUGUGAAGACUUGAAAUAAUUUGAAAAUAGAAUUAAAAAUAAACAACAAUAUUUAAGUGAAUUUUUUAAAGUAAGUAUUAUAAGGAAAAAAUCAAAAUAAAUAAAACAUAAAAUACUACACAUAUAUUAAUCUAAAUAUGUAAUACAUUUGAAAUGAAGCACUCAAUAUAAACAAUAAUAUAUAUAUAAAUAUACAAUAAUAUAUGUAAAAGUUGAGACAAGUAAAAUAAAAUAGAGUACUUAAAGGGAAUAAAGUAUACAUAUAAUAAAAAAAUAAUUUAAUGUAAAUGUUAUAUAUAUAUAUAUAUUAUGAAAUGAAUCUAUGAAAAUAUUAUCGUAUAAACCUUUAAAAUUAGAAAUAUAUAAAAAUAGAUUUUAAGAAUAUAUUAUAAGAUAAAAUCAUAAAAAUGUAUACAAAUUAUACUAGAUUAACAUAAGAAAUAUAAAAUCAUAUAUUAUAGUCAAAUACAUCACCAAAUACUACCUACUACCACUAAGUAGCCUAGUAACUUCAUAAACAUUGCUUGUACACAUAAACAAGCCACCCAAAGUAGUCAUUCAACACCUAAUGCAUCAAGUUGUCAUCAACUUGUUCAUUUUCAACUAGUUUGAAUACAAUGAACUAAAGAGAAAACCUUGCUGUUACUGCAAGCAUAAGUGCUGUAGCAUGUUUACAAGCUGGAUGCACUUCAACCAAAAAUAUCAUAGCAGUUGGCCAAUUUUCAACACUCCUCCUUGAACUCCAUGCUGCAAAUACCAGUCAUUCAUCAAGUUUUUGAACUUGGCAGUCCUUAGAUGCUUUGUUUCAAGCUGGCUCUACUCAAGCAAUUCAUUUUCAACCUUGGCUUCAUUCUCAACCAAAUCUGACUUACACACUUGACUAUCCCAGUCUUUGUGCCAAAAAUUUAUUCAUCAAAUGGAGUAUUCUCCUCCUUCACAGCCUUAGUUGACAACACAUCUUGCCUUGUUCCUUUGUUCACUACAAUCUUAUUUUUUAUUGCACAAACAGUUCGUGAGUAUAGUUUGCUUGCCUUCAUUCUGCCAUUUUGGCUUGCACCCAUUCGAGCUUGCAUUUAGACCGUCUGCCACUUUGGUUUGCACCCAUUCAGGUUUGCAUUUAGACUGUCCGCCACUUCAGCUUGCAAUUCGACAGGCUCACACUUUGACAGGUUCGCACUUUGCUUACUGUCUUCAACAGGCUAGCAGCUAUACAGGGCUCACACCUUUUGAUGAGCUCAUAGCUCGCACUUCUCGCUUAGCUUGCACCUUUGACAUCUUUGCUGAGCUUGCAGCUUGCACAUGGGAAAGCUCACAUACUUUCCUUGAAACUCCUCCUUCAGCUUAUUCAAGCUUACUUGGGAGUCUCAGAGGGUUGAGCUGAUGCUGUCUUUUCUACAAGCAACCUUCAAAGAUGACAGGCUUUAAUAGCUUCUUGUCUUUCUUAACAAGUAGCAAAAGCAAAAAUAAGCCCUCAAAGACUUGGGCUCAUGAUACCAUUUGUUGGAACAUUGGCAGCAGCAAAAGAAGAGAACAGAGAGAACAGAACAAUAAAAUUAGAUACAAGAAAAAUUUUACUUACUUACAAAUAUGCAGCAAAGGGAGCUUAUGGCUGAUAGCUUAUUCAACUCACUCAUUCAACCAGAAAAACAAUAUAUUUAUAGUCAAAUACAUCACCAAAUACUACCUACUACCACUAAGUAGCCUAGUAACUUGAUAAACAUUGCUUGUACACAUAAACAAGCCACCCAAACUAGUCAUUCAACACCUAAUAUUGCAUCAAGUUGUCAUCAACUUGUUCAUUUUUACUAGUUUGAAUACAAUGAAACUAAAGAGAAAACCUUGCUCUUACAGCAAGCAUAAGUGCUGCAGCAUGUUUACAAGCUGCAUGCACUUCAACCAAAAAUAUCACAGCAGAAUGGUUGGCCAAUUUUCAACACAACCUAUCUUCUUAUCAUCAAUUAAACUUAUUCCAAAAAACACCUGACUAGGUAAACAAAUAUCGGACCCAUUUGCUUCUAAGGAAUAUCCCGUAUCUCCUUUGUCGGUAAUCAACAUCCUGUAAUAUAUAGGAGCAAGGCGACAAUGCGUUUAAAUCAUGAAAGUGGAAAAUGGUAGUAACUCAUUAAAAUUCUCUAUGCCAUCUUACUUCAUCAGGAUCAGGUACUUCGAGAGUUGUUCCAUGUAGAGCUUUAAUUGCUAUCAGGGUUUCAUUCUACCAAAACCAAGGUCUCUUGAAGAUUAGCAUCAAAUGCAGAAUAUCAUUGCAG